Molecule: long non-coding RNA, 64607 nt
Filed under: Durio zibethinus
Lineage: Eukaryota; Viridiplantae; Streptophyta; Magnoliopsida; Malvales; Malvaceae
Description: long non-coding RNA (DZIB_LNC001604)
Source: RNAcentral
AAAAAAAAGGCCAUUUGGCCUAACAAUCAAUAUCCUUUUGAGCAACUUCGCAUUAGAUGAGCAUUGGCCUCCGAUCUGCCCAACAUCUAAUCUACUAAGGAACUGACAGAGCUUGAGGCAAAGCUUGGUUUGAUGCUGAAAUCGUUUGCAGUCUGCAGUCAACAGAGAUUAAUUGAGCAGAGUUAUCAUUGUUUUCCUCAACAGAAAUCAUGUUGAUUAUUUGUAGCAAAACACGCUCGAGCUCUUCACCAUCACUCCAUUCACGAAUCUCAGCCUUGAUGAGCAAAGGGUUCCUGCAAAUUAAAUCCCAGACUGGAAAAUUCUUCCUUGGCAUCAUAUAGUCUGCUUCUUCAAGCCUUAGACUUGGCCAGUAAUCACCGGCACCAUCUCCAAGGUAGAUGAUUUUUUUUCUUCCCCUCUAAAGAAGCUUGUAUCCUUUCAAUGAUCAUCCCCUGUUACAGAAAGCUGAAGCCAAAAUUAAAAUUGUUGACAUCUUAUUUCAUGAUUGUCAUUAAAUUUAUAUGAUUUGACCCAUGUCAAGAUCUUGUGUUUGUUUACGACCUUAUAUGAGCCAUUACUUUAAUAGAUUAAGUGGGGUCAAGAAAAGAAGUUGAAAUAUCUAAAAUGAAAAUAGAUUUAAAAAAUAAAGAAAUAAAUAAAAACUCCAAGCUAGUUGGACGAAUUUGACUCUGUACACGUGGAAUACCAUCAAGUAAUAAAAUUUUCUAGAAAUUUUCACUUAAUAUGAAAAAUCUAGGUCCUCCUACAAAAGUUUGUUGUCUUGAUUUAAAAUAUUUACAAUUGUGAUAUUAAUGAAAUUAAAUCUCAUGUUAGUGAUGAAAAACAUAUAAUACCUUGCACAUACUUGGGGGGCAGAGGCUGCCAGCCACUGAGAACUCUUGGUGAAAUCAUGGUAAGGAAUGAUCCUCAGCCUCCCUUCUUCGAUCAAACAAAGCCUGGGGUUUGGUGUUGAUCUCUGAGAAAUUUCCCUCAAUCCAAGAUGUCCCAGAAUUGUUCUCAAUGAAGAACAUGAUUGCGAUCACUCACAAUCCUGAGUUCACACCUGAAAAAAAAUAUUCAAACCAAUUUGAUCACCCUUAUAUUUCUAUUGCUUCAAACUGUAUUUUAUAGUCACAGAUCAGAACACCAAGUGGAGAAGCAUAGAAAAAAGGAGUACCCUAAAGAAUGAGCUGAUUUAAUAGCGGGGACGAUCCUAAGAUGGAUAGGAGCUCGUUUCAGAACCUCAGCAAUGUCAUCAAUGGUUUUUCCUUGGGCAUGAAGCUCCUUCAUCAUCCUGUCCUGUAAUUUUAUACCACAAACACUGAGUUUCAUUUUUUAUAAAUGUAAAGCCAACAGAAACAGAAAUUGUAGAGGGCUUGAUAUGGGUUACCAUGAGAGAAUUUCAGGGCAUGGUAGAAAGAAGCUGGUUGAACAAGUCGGUGAAACCCAAGUCAUCGACAACCCAGUUAUCACUAUCACAGUCGAUGAUGGUUUUGUCAAAAUUAAAAACCACAACAAUUGCAUCCAUCUCUCUGGAUGAAAAUCAAACAAAAUGCAAAACAAGAUUGGAAAAACUCAACUACUGUUUGAAUGUUUUCUUGUUGGUAUAGGUCACGUAACAGGCGAGGGGUAUUAUAUGCAAAGAAUAGAUUUUUUUUAUGCCAAAGGAAUAUUAAGUGAAGGGGUUAUUUGGUGCAAGUAGGAAGCACUAAGCAGGCCACAAGAAGCCCUUUUUCCUGCAAGCUUCCUACUCAACACGUACUAAUCUAAUACAACUGCUUGUAAAUUAUUUCUCUGGUAUAAGUAAUAUUAACCGUUUGAUGGAUGACUAUUGACCAUGUGAUCAAUAAUCAAGUUUAGUCAGCGGAUCUGGGGUAAAAGGGUGUGGGUUAAUUAUGAAAGGGAUUAGGUUUAAGGUUUAACGUUUAUCAGACUUCUUUCCAUUGCUCCAUUCGCAUAAUUGUGCCUUUACUAGCCUCCUGUUUUUGCAAAUCAAAUCCAAAACAGGGAAAUUCUUCCUUGUCAUUACAUAGUCCCCAUCUCCCAGAUUCAAACUUGGACAGAAAUCGCCAAGCCCAUCGCCGAGGUAGAUUAUUGUUUUCUUCUCCUCCACGGGCAUGAGAGAGACUUGGAUCCUUCCAAUCACAAUACCCUAUUAAGAAAGAAUUCAAUCAUUAGUCAAUAGGAUGGGAAGAAAAUGAAGAUAACUUAAAAAUAAUUAUAGCAUAAAAUUAUAUAUCUUACAGCUAAUCAUGCUUUGGAUUCAUUACGUUUACUAAACAUUAGAAUUCAGUGGAGGUUGCAUAUGGUAUAGUCGGGUACUCAUGUACUCCUCCAAAGGUUGGAAAAUCAAAAACGUUUUCUUUGGACACCUUCAAAUUUUCUUUUUGAACAUAUCUUUCUUAAUUCCUUAUUCCUUAAUCCUUCACUCACUGCCACUACCUAAUAUCCAAUCACAUCACACUGUCAGUUAAUGCCCAACACCCAAUAAGCAUCCACUAUAUUAAAUGGACACCUCCAUAAAAAAAUUUCUUGCAUCUGCUACUGUUAGAAUUCAGUCAUAUUUGAUGCAUGCAUGCCUGGUUCAUGUUGUUAGUAACUAGUAUGAUUUUCAAGUUAAAAAUGAUAUACCUUGCACAUGUUUGGAGGGCAGGGAGGAUGAAAUCCAUGAGUAGAUUGAGUGAAAUCAUGGUGAGCAAAGAUCCUUAGCGUGCCUUCUUCAUUUACCAAACCUGGGUUGGUAUUGAUCUCUGAAAAGCAUUCCCUCAGGCCAUGAUGCUUCAAAAUUGUGUCGAUGAAGAACACGUUCGCAUCGCAUACAAUCUUCAAACCACACCUGAAAUUAAUAAUGCCAUACGAGUAUUUUUUUCUUUUCUGGCGAGAAAACCAGAAAGAAAAAUUAAAUAUACAUGCCGGCAGGACUGUAGUUGGCAGGAAGGAAACUACUAAAGCUAAGAAAUGUUGCCAGAGAGCUUAUUAAGUGUAUGGUCCUUUAAUUACUUCUUGCGACAGAGGAAUAAUAUCACAGGCUGCAAUCCCUGAGAACGCAACUGUGGCUUCUGCUGUCUCAACAAACGAUUGGACUCAAUAUCUCACUACUUCUCUACAGAUGAAGGAUUUGCGGCAGAUGUUGGCUGGUCUGACCUUCACUAAAGAAGAAGAUGUUGUUUGGCAGGCAGCAAAGUCUGGCAUGUUCAUACUUUCAAAUACAUGGGACUGGAUCAGGGAUAGGCAAUCAACUCUGGUUUGGCAUAAAUUGGUCUGGAAUUCCUCUUCACUCCCUAGACAUAGUUUUAUCACUUGGCUUGAGGUUCUUAAUAUAUUGAGCACACUAGCUAAUAUUAGGAGAUUCUGAGAGGAGCGUGAACAACAAGUAUAAAUAUAUCAAAUAUGCCAUGCGAGGAAUUCUCCAAAACUUGGCGUUUGUUCUUCAAAUAUUGACAAAGUCUUUCCUAGACAUUAGUUUUAAUGUAAAGUUUUGCCUUAUAAAAUUUGUAAAAAAAUAUGAAUAAUCCAUCUAUUAGCUGUCUGUGAAAAAUUGAAGGAUUGUAUAGGAAAUGCUAAAGCUUAUUCUUUGAUUUGUUGACUGGUAGCCUCCUGCUUCUUUGGAUCAAAGAAAUACCAUAUGAAAAAAAAAAAAAAACUAAAUAUAUACGAACACUGAGAAAAAUGUACGCAUAGCCUAAAGCAUGAGCCGAAUUUAAUGGCUUGGAUAAUUCGGGGAUGUAUUGGAAUUGUUUUUAGAACAGCUACAAUGUCAUUUAUGUUUGUUCCUUGUGAAUGAAUUUCUUUCAUCAUUAGAUCCUGCUUUGUACAUAAAAAAAAUAAGCCCUAGUUCUUAUAUUUGGAAAAGAAAGAAGAAGGAAAACAAAUAAAUUAAAAGACUAACAAUAAGAGAGUUCCAAGGCAUGGUAGAGAGGAGUUGAUUGAACAACUAUGUAGCUAGUCUAGGAUUUAUGAAAUCUGAAAUUCAGGUUAGUUGAUUUAUAAAAUUACUCUUAAGAGAUGGUAUUUAACUGUAACUCAAAUUUUAAUAUUUAUAAUCAUUUCUUGUACUCUCAAAUGACCUCCUAAAUAAAUAAAUAAAAAGUCUAUAAUAAGAAAUUAAGUAUGCUUAAUUUGUUUGAAUUUUCAAGUUACUUGAUCCUAAGUUUUAAAAUUUUUAACUUUUUUAAUAUAUGUUCAGAUUUUAAGUUAUAUAAUUAGAGACAAGUAAUUUAUAAUUAUAUUUCACAUAAAAAUCAUUUCUAGUUUAUAAGAUUUAAAUUAAAAUUAAAAUUUUAAAUUCUUUCUAAUAAUUAUGUCAUGUAAAAUCAAAAUAUAUUUAAAUUGAUACUUUAUUCUGAUUCUUAAUGCUUUAUUAUUAAAAUAAUUAAUCUAUAUAAGUAUAUACCAUAUAUAUUCAUAUCCACAAUGCCUUUUUAUAAAAGUGAGAAAAUCCUCAUCGAAGAAGAAUCAAAGCAUGUGCAAAGAAUAUUAUGUAAUACCUAAGUCCAAGUUAUUAUAGCUUAAUUAGUGAUCCAGCCCAUAAGUAUCAUUAGUAAAAAAAAAAAACCUAAAGAAGAAAAAAAAAAAAAAGAAAACUUAUCAACAACUUUUGUCGAUAGUUUUUUUUGAGAAAAAAAAAAAGGGAAAAAUUUUAAGAAAUACUUGGGAUGAAGAAAAGAGGAAGAGAUAAUGCAAAUCAAUUCUAGAAAUCACUUAUUAAGAUAAAAUUUUACUUAAAACUCUUGAAAUUUUUAUGUUUUAUACAAUUUUCUACAAACCCAAAUUAUAUUUUUAUAUCUUUUCAACUUCAAAAAUAUUUCAACGACCUCUUAGUGACAAUCUGACGAAAUUGAAGGUACUAAUGGAAAGUCUCUUUAAAACCUUUCUAAUGGUAUGUGUGGUACUUUGUUUAGUUAAGUAAUUUAAGAGAAUUUAGUGUUUUAAAUUUUUUAUUUUUUGGUUUUUAAUAAUUACAGAUGCCCAAUUUUGACCCAUCGAAACUCUUUACCCUGGUAGCCAAUUUGGUUGAACAUUUUAUGCUUUUGAUAGUACAAAAUGUGAAUUUUCUAUUGGUAUAAUUGGUUUGUUUAGAUUAUUUAUAGGCUAAAAGAAUCGAAACUCCAAAAUAGGCUUCAUGAAUCUAAAACUCAAAAAAUCAGGGCUGUUUAUGAUGAUUUGUCAAGUUUUAACCAUUGAAACUUUGGUUUUUAGAAAUUAGUUUUGCCAAAACAAAAUUUUAUAUUGUAGUAUUACAUCCUUACUUUAAAUUCGCGCUUCAUUUUGUCAUUAGGAACUAUAGAAUGUUCAAGUUUUUGUGACUCAAAUUAAACCAAAUGAUCACAUAAUUUAAAAAUUCUCAUUUUUAAUUAUUUUAAAAAUUAUUUCCAGCCAAUAUUUAAUGUGUUUAGCUAUAAAUUACUUAAAUUUUAGUUAUAGUAUUUUUAAAGAAUUUUUACUUAUUUUAAUAUAUUUUUAUUGUGUUAAUUUUAUAUUAUUAAUAUUGUUAAAAGACUAUUAAAUUAUAUUUAGAUUUACAAAAAAAAAAUGAUUACUAUUAAAUGUUAAAAAUUAAAUAUUUGAAAAAAUUUAUAUUGCUACUGAUUUUUAUGUUUUAAUCCUUAAUUUCAUAUUUAUAGUCCAUUCUAGGUAUUUUGCUAUAUUAAAAUAAAAUUUAUUUUAUAUGCUAAAAGAAAAUAUUUUCAAAUAGUUUCAAAUUAUCGAAAAGUUUGCUACAUAACUCAACUUGCUUAUGAUAACCCAUGAAAGGUUUGCCUCAUUAAAUUUAUGUUUUUGGGUUAAAUUCUGAUUUUUAAAUAUUUCUUGAAUUAUUAGGAUAUCAAGAGAAUUGAGUAAUUCGUUGUUUAAGUUUCAGUUUAGCGCAUCAAGUAAGUGACUUGAUAUCUUUUCGAUUUCUAUGUCCCUAAAAAUCAAUCUCAAUAUAUUUAGAGUUGAAAUAUAUAAUAUAUAUUGUUUUGUCCAUUUGUUUUGUAAAUCAGGUUGAGCAUGUAAAAUGUAUCUAUGAUUUAUUUGUUAUGAAUUUGGAAUAUGGUUUGACAUUGUUUUGAUUUCUGAAUAUGAUUUCAGAAUAAUAUAUUUAUAUAUCCAUCAUUUGUUAGAAUAUAAAAUUUUACUUUGGAAUGAUUAUGGAAAUUACUUUAUAUAGAUUAUAUUUUGAAAAAAUUUAUAAAUAUUGAAUUUGUAUAUGUUGGUAAUCUGAAAACAUAUUAUGGUUUUGUCUCAUAGUAUGGCUAUGUUCUGACCCUAUUAGUGGGGAUUAAUUUUGGCUAUGUUGACAUAUACUUUAUGCUAUUGAUGCCGAUUUUUAACUGUGUCAUUAGUUGAAAAUAGUUAUUUUUAUUCACUGUACCAUCAGUGAUAUACUUAUGUCCCAUUGCAUUAAAGGGGUUACUAUGAUUUUUGUUUUGUCCCAUUACAUUAAUGGGUUAAUUAUAAUUGCCAAUGCAAUGAUUUAGUUGCUUUUGCUAUAUUUUUGUCCCAUUAUACUAAAAAAAAUUUUUGAUUUCGACUUAUGCCACAAGAGUUAGUGUGGUCAUAGUAUUUUACAGGAGACUAAAUAAAUUUAUAAUUUUGUGAUAUUUAAUUACAUUUUGUGAUAUGAGAAUUUGGUUUUGAAAAUAUGUUUGUGAAUACAAGACUACCUAAAAUAUUUUUGAAUCAUUUAGUUAAUGUUUUGUGGCAUACUUAAUUCAAUUGAGGGGAUGUCGAGUACUUGUUGAGACAUCUUACUCAUUUUUUUAUUUUUCUUUACUUUUUCAAAUUUUAGUGUUUGUGUCUUGGGAGAUUGAAUCUUGACAAUUACUUGGAUUAGUAAAAUUAGCAUCUCUCUUUAGAUUGGUAUUCUUUCAAAGUGAGUAUUUUAUUAUUGAUUCUAAAAGAUUUGUUAGCAAGAACUUUAGUAUAUUCAACCAACUUACAAAGAGUAUAAUUUUAUAGACUUGAGAUUCUGUAAAGUAUUAAUUUAGAGAUUAUUGAAGAUUUUAAUUUAGUUUGAUAUCUGUUGCCUUAUAUGCUUGCGAGAUUCAUCUCACGAAUAUGCAUUGUUGGUACAUUCUAAAUCUUUAGGUUUGGGGCUUGACAUAUUGAACAAUUUGCUUAGUACAAUCAGAUAGAGAAGCAUUUCUAAAAAAGAAAUAUAACAUAUAUAGUGUUUAAGAGAAUAAAACUUUCGACAUGUAGGUUUGGUUUUUGUUUUAAUAAUUAUAUUUAUUUAUGCUACAAUCAAGUACAUGCAAAAAGUGAGAUAUAUUAGUCUAAAAUUUAAUUCAACUAAUUUAUAAAAAUUUUUUAAAAAAAUAAUAUUUAAUUAAAAUUUAAAUCUCAAUACUUGUAUUUUCUUCUUUUAUUCCAAAUAACUUCUUUUAAAAGGAAAAAAUGAGUCAUGUGGAAUUCUUUUGUUGACUUUUUAUGUUUGUUAAUCUACCUCUGGUCCAACUUUUCUAUAGUACACGAUUAAUUUAAUAACCAUUGUACCGCUUAAAUAAUCUUAACCUCACAAUUAAAGAGGUAAAACUUCUCCAUUGAUAAAAACUUACUUAAGUACCUUCUUGGUCAUGAAAACAGCAAUCCCCAUAUUGAAAUGUUAAUCAUGAAAUUAAAUCAUUAAUCCUACUGCAUAAUUUGUCCGAUAUGAAAAAAUCUGAUUGGAACAUAUAUCUAAAUUUGAAUAUAUAUGCAAAAACAAUAGACAGAUGAUUUUUAAAUGAUGUUAAAAUUUAUGAAAUUUAAAAUUUAACGCUAUUAAUUUAUGUAUGUAGUUGUUUUUGGAUAUAGUAUUUAAUAAAUUUGAUAUUCAAAUCUUAAUAUUUUUUUUCAUUUCAAAGUUAUGAUCUUCUUUCAUAACAAGAAAAAAAAAACUAUAAAUGAUUUUUUAUCUGUAACUUUAAACUGAUGAAUUUAAAUUGCUAAGACUUUGCAGUCAUAUUUUCAUUGGCAAAGUUGAUUUACAUUUAUUUCAAAAGUAGAGAAAAAAAGGCCAUUUGGCCUACCAAUCAAUAUCAUAUUGAGCAACUUCGCAAUAGAUGAGCAUUGGCCUCCGAUCUGCCCAAAAACUAAUUUAUUGAGGAACUGGCAAAGCUUGAGGCAAGGCCUGGUUUGAUGCUGAAAUCGUUUGCAAUUUGCAGUCAACAGAGAUUAGUUGAGCAGAAUUAUCCUUGUUUUCCUCAACAGAAAUCAUGUUGAUUAUUUGUAGCAAAACACGCUCGAGCCCUUCACCAUCACUCCAUUCAUGAAUCUCCGCCUUGAUGAGCAAAGGGUUCCUGCAAAUUAAAUCCCAGACUGGAAAAUUCUUCCUGGGCAUCAUAUAGUCUGCUUUUCCAAGCCUUAGACUUGGGCAGUAAUCACCGGUACCAUCUCCAAGGUAGAUGAUUUUUUUCUUCCCCUCUAAAGAAGCUUGAAUCCUUUCAAUGAUCAUCCCCUGUUACACAAAGCAGAAGCCAAAAUUAAAAUUGUUGACAUCUUAUUUCAUGAUUGUCAUUAAAUUUAUUUGAUUGUUGACCCAUGUAAAGAUCUUGGGUUUGUUUAUGACCUUACUUGAGCCAUUACUUUAAUAGAUUAAGUGGGGUCAAGAAAAGAAGUUGACAUAUCUAAAAUGAAAAUAGAUUUAAAAAAUAAAGAGAUAAAUAAAAACUCCAAGCAAGUUGGACGAAUUUGACUCUGUACAUGUGGAAUACCAUCAACUAAUAAAAUUUUCUAGAAAUUUUCACUUAAUAUGAAAAAUCUAGGUCUUCCUACAAAAGUUUGGUGUCUUGAUUUAAAAUAUUUACAAUUGUGAUAUUCAUGAAAUUAAAUCUCAUGUUACUGAUGAAAAGCAUAUGAUACCUUGCACAUAUUUGGGGGGCAGAGGUUGCAGCCAUGAGAACUCUUGGUGAAAUCAUGGUAAGGAAUGAUCCUCAGCCUCCCUUCUUCAUCAACAAAGCCGGGGUUGGUGUUGAUCUCUGAGAAAUAUUCCCUCAAUCCAAGAUGCUCCAGCAUUGUCUCAACGAAGAACAUGUUUGCAUCACUCACAAUCCUGAGUUCACACCUGAAAAAAUAUUCAAACCAAUUUGAUCACCCUAUAUUUCUAUUGCUUCAAACUGUAGUUUUGAUAGUCACAGGUCAAACACCAAGAGGAGAAGCAUAGAAAAAAAGGAGUACCCUAAAGAAUGAGCUGAUUUAAUAGCGGGGACGAUCCUAGGAUGGAUAGGCGCUCGUUUCAGAACCUCAGCAAUGUCAUCAAUGGUUUUUUCUUGGGCAUGAAGCUCCUUCAUCAUCCUGUCCUGCAAUUUUAUACCACAAACACUGAGUUUCAAUUUUUAUGAAUGUAAAGCCAACAGAAAGAGAAAUUGCAGAGGGCUUAAUAUGGGUUACCAUGAGAGAAUUCCAGGGCAUGGUAGGAAGAAGCUGGUUGAACAAGUCGGUGAAACCCAAGUCAUCGACAACCCAGUUAUCACUAUCACAGUCGAUAAUGGUUUUGUCAAAAUCAAAAACCACAACAGUUCCAGCCAUCUCUCUGAAUGAAAAUCAAACAAAAUACAAAACAAGAUUGGAAAAACUCAGCAACUCUUUGAAUGUUUUCUUGUUGGUAUAGCAACGUAACAGGGGAUGGGUAUUUAUAUGCAAACAAUGGAUUUUAUUUUAUGCCAAAGGAAUAUUACGUGAAGGGGUUAUUAGGCGUAAGUAGGAAGCAAUAAGCAGGACACAAGAAGCCCUUUUUCCUGCAAGCUUCCUACGCAACACAUACUAAUCUGAUACAACUGCUUGUAAAUUAUUACUCCGGUAUAAGCAAUAUUAACCGUUUGAUGGAUGACUUUUGAACCAUGUGAUUAAUCAAGUUGAGUCAGCGGAUCAGGGGUAAAAAGGUGUAGGUUAAUUAUGAAAGGGAUUAGGUUUAAGGCUUAAGGUUUAUCUAACUCCUCUCCAUUGCUCCAUUCGCAUAAUGGUGCCUUUACUAGCCUCCUGUUUUUUUGCAAAUCAACUCCCAAACUGGGAAAUUCUUCCUUGUCAUUACAUAGUCCCCAUCUCCCUUCUUCAAACUUGGACAGAAAUCGCCAAGCGCAUCACCGAGGUAGAUUAUUGUUUUCUUCUCCUCCACGGGCAUGGGAGAGACUGGUAUCCUUCCAAUCAUAACACCCUAUUAAGAAAGAAUUCAAUCAUUAGUCAAUAGGAUGGGAAGAAAACGAAGAUAAGUUAAAAAUAAUUAUAGCAUAAAAUUAUAUAUCUUACAGCUAAUCAUGCUUUGGAUUCAUUACGUUUACUAAACAUUAGAAUUCAGUGGCGGAUGCAUAUGGUAUAGUCGGGUAUUCAUGUACACCUCCAAAGGUUGGAAAAUAAAAAAUGUUUUCUUUGGACACCUUAAAGUUUUCUUUUUGAACAUAUCUUUCUUAAUUCCUUAUUCUUUAAUCCUUCACUCACUGCCACUAUCUAAUAUCCAAUCACAUCUCACAGUUAGUUAAUACCCAACACACCUCCAUAAAAAAAAUCUUGCAUCCGCUGCUGUUAGAAUUCAGUAAUAUUUCACGCAUGAAUGCAUGAUUCAUGUUAAAAAUGAUAUACCUUGCACAUGUUUGGAGGGCAGAGAUGAUGAAAUCCAUGAGUAGAUUGAGUGAAAUCAUGGUGAGGCAAGAUCCAUAGCCUGCCUUCUUCAUUUACCAAACCUGGGUUGGUAUUGAUCUCUGAAAAGCAUUCCCUCAGGCCAUGAUGCUUCAAAAUUGUGUCGAUGAAGAACACGUUCGCAUAACAUACAAUCUUCAAAUCUCACCUGAAAUUAAUAAUGCCAUACGAGUUUUUUUUUUUUUUUUUUUUUUCUAGCGAGAAAACCAGAAAGAAACUUUAAAUAUACAUGCCGGCAGGAUUGUAGUUGGCAAGAAGGAAACUCCUAAAGCUAAGAAAUGUUGCCAGAGAGCUUAUAAAGUGUAUGGUCUUGGGACGGAGGAAUAAUAUCACAGGCUGCAAUCCCUGAGAAUGCAACUGUGGCAUCUGCUCUCUCUACAAACGAUUGGAUUCAAUAUCUCACUUCUUCUCUACUGAUGAGGGAUAUGCAGCGGAUGUUGGCUGGUCUGACCUUUACUGAACAAGAAGAUGUUGUUUGGCAGGCAUCAAAGUUUAGCAAGUUCAUACUUUCAAAUACAUGGGACUGGAUCAGGGAUAGGGAACCCACUGUGGUUUGGCAUAAACUGGUCUGGAUUCUUCUUCACUCACCAAACAUAGUUUUAUCACUUGGCUUAAGGUUCUUAGUAGAUGAGCAAAGUAACUAAUAUUAGGAGUUGAAGUACUCAAAUGUCACUAGGGAUCAUCUUUUCCAUUCUUGUGACUUCUCAAAGCAAGUUUGGCAAUUAGUUUUAGCAAAAGUGAAGUGUGUUUUUUAUUGCAAUAUCCAAAAAUGACAGCAGGAGCUCGAUUGGAUUAUUAUAGGUGAAACUUUUAAGACUGAUUCUGAGAGGAGUGUGAACAAGUAUAAAUAUAUCACAUAUGGCAUGCGAGGAAUUCUCCAAAACUUGGUAUUUGUUCUCUAAACAUUGACAAAUACUUUGCUAGACAUUAGUUUUAAUGUAAAGUUUUGCCUCUUAAAAUUUGUAAAAAAUAUGAUUAAUCCAUCUAUUAGCUCUGUAUGUAAAAAUUGAGGGCCGGGGUUGUAUAGGAAAUGCUAAAGCUCAUUGUUUGAUUUGUUGACUGGUGGCCUCCUACUUCUUUGGAUCAAUGAAAUACCAUUUAUGAAACAAAAAAAAAAAAAAAACUAAAUAUACACGAACAGAGAGAAAAAUGUAUGCAUAGCCCAAAGUAUGAGCCGAUUUAAUGGCUUUGAUGAUUCAGGGAUGCAUCGCAGUUGUUUCUAGAACAGCUACAAUGUCAUCAAUUUUUUUUCCUUAUGAAUGAAGUUUUUUCAUCAUUAGAUCCUGUUUUGUAAAUAAAAAAAUAAACCCUGGUUCUUACAUUUGGAAAAGAAGGAAAAAGAAAAAACAUAAAUUAAAAGACUAACCAUAAGAGAGUUCCAAGGCAUGUAAGGAGGAGUUGAUUGAACAACUAUGUAGCACGUCUGAGAUCUAUGAAAUUUGGAAUUCAAGUUAAUUGAUUUAUGAAAUUAUCUUUAAGAGUGGCAUCCAAAGACUUAAAUUUCAACAUUUACAACCAUUUCUCAUAUUCUCAAACGGCUUCCCUAAUAAAAAAAAAUAGUAUAUAAUAAGAAAUUAAUUAUGUUUAAUUUGUUUGAAUUGUCAAGUUACUUUAUCCUAAGUUUUAAAAUUUUUAACUUUUUUUAAAUAUGUUCAGAUUUUAAGUUACAUAAUCAGAAACAAAUAAUUAUAAUCAUAUUUCAUAUAAAAAUCAUUUCUAGUUUAUAAGAUUUAAAUUUAAAUUAUAAUUUCAAGUUCUUUCUAAUAAUUAGAUCAUGCAAAAUCAAGAUAUAUUUAAAUUUGUGCUUUAUUCUGAUUCUUAAUCUCUUUAUUAUGAGAAUAAUUACUCUAUAUAAGUAUCUACAUAUAUAUUCGUAUCCACAAUGUGUAUUUAUAAAAGUGAGAAAAAUUCUCAUCAAGAAGAAUCAAAGCAUGUAAGGAAUAUUGAACCUUGGAAUCUGCCUAGUACAAGCAGAUAGAGAAACAUUUCUACAAAAGCUGUAUAACAUGAAUGGGGUUUAAAAGAAUAAAAUGUUAGAAAAAUAAAUUAAAUAGGUUCUAUUUUUGUUUUAAUAAUUAUAUUUAUUUACGCUAUAAUCAAGUACGUGCAAAAUGUUAGUUUAAAAUUUAAUUCAGUUAAUUUAUAAAAUUAUUUUUUAAAAAUAGCAUUCAAUUAAGAUUUAAAUUUCAAUACAUGUAUUCUCUUCUUUUAUUCCAUGUAAUCUUUUGUAAUAAAAAAUUGAGUCAUGUGAAGUUUUUUUGUUAAUUUUUUAUUAUUUGUUAAUCUACCUAUUCCACACACUAUAUUACUAAUUUAAUAACCACCACUCCGCUUAAUUAAUUUUAACCUUGCAAUUAAAGAGGUAAAACUUUUCCAUUGAUAGGAACUUACUCAAGUAACUUCUUGGUCAUGGAAAUAGCAAUCUCCAUAUUGAAAUGUAAAUCAUGAAAUUAAAUCAUUAAUCCUACUACAUAAUUCAUCCAAUAGAAACUAAUCUAAUUGGAAAAUAUAUCUAAAUUUGAGUAUACGUGCAAAAACAAUAGGCGGACGAUCCUUAAGUGAUGAAAAAUUAAGGUAAUUUGAAACUAAACUUUGGUAGUUCAUGUAUAUAGUUGUUUUAGGAGAAGGUAUUCAAUAAGUUUAAGGUUUAAAUCUCAACACUUUCUUUCAUUUCAAAAUUAUGAUCUCUUUUGUAACAAAAAAAAAUAGAAAUAAUCUUUUAUUUGUAACUUUAAACUGGUGAAUUUAAAUAAUAAUAAAAAAAAAAAACAACAAAAGGAAGUUCAUUUUCUCCUCAAACAAAAUAAUUUGAAAGAGCUGUCAGAUAUAUGGAAAGGUAUGAGUCAGUCUAGACAAUUAGCCUUUUGUGAAAAAUAUGGUCAUAUUACAUAUCUCCUUUCAGAGGUAGUUGAACAUUCUUUCAUUAGAGCAACGGUGCAAUUAUGUGAUCCUUUAUAUAGAUACUUCAUCUUCAAUAAAGUUGACAAGACACCGAUUAUAGAGAAGUAAUUUACAUUGCUGGGUAUGCAUCUCCAAUCACUAAAUAAGAUAUAUGUUAGGAGGCAGAAAUCAACAUUUCGUAAGAAAAUCAUAGAUAUCAUGGAGUUCAAAAGGAAGAUGUAAAUGUACAAGUUUAAGAAAGAAAUGACUAUAUUUGUUUUCCUUGAGAGUUUUUUCGUAAUUUCAUCACAAAGCAUCUAAAUGAUGAUUAAGGGUCAGAUAUAUUUGCUCUGGCCAUAUAUGGCAUGGUAAUCUUUCCUAGAAUUUUAGGUCAUAUUGAGAUAGAAGUGAUUGAUUUUUUCUAGCAUGUGAAAAAAGGUUGCAAUCCCUCUUCUGCAAUCUUAGUUGAAACAAUUAAAUCCCUAAACUAUUAUCAUCAAAAAGGUAAAAGGUGUUUCAUUGGAUGCUUGCCAUUAUUAUAUUUGUGGAUGAAAAGUCACUUUAAGUGUAAGAAGAAUGCAUUUUCCAAACUCUACUUUCGUAGAGCCUCAAUUAAGCAAUUUUGUGAAAAUGAAUGGCCAAAGCCCAAACCUAAGGAGGAAUGGAUGGUCCUGCUACAAGGUCUUAUUUGCACUCAAGUGAAAUGGUUAGUUCCAUGAAUGGAUCAUGAACUAAUGUUAUAUCAAUGUAGACAUGAGAUAGGGGUCCCACUUCUAGGUUUAUAUGGAGCAACAAGUUAUGCACUGCCUACGAUUCAAAGGCAGUUUAGGGCUGAAUAGUUCAUUCCUAUGACAUACAAACUCACUCAAUCAAAUUUUCUACAUAGUGAGUCAAAAAUACUGCAAAAAGUGGAUAAUGUGAUCAAGACAUGGAUGAAGCCCAAAAGAGUGAGUCCUUCGUCAGUUAUUGAUAAAGUCACUUAUAAGUAUUUGGUGUAGAAAGCCAAGAGGGGCAAGGAGGUUAUGUUUACACUCAAAUAUUAUUGCCAGCCAAUGAAUUAAGAGUUGGAUAAGAUAUUCUCAGAGUUAGAGUUCGCAAGGAAAGAAUUUGAAGCUAAGAAAGAUAAGAUAAAGAAGAGAUUCAAAGGUUUUAAGAAAAAAGAAAGCAAUGGAAAGACAAGGCAAAAAAGCUAGAAGUUAGAGUCCACAAGAUUUCCAACGAGCGUGAUACAAUAGUUAAUAAUUUGGCCAAAGUUUAUUGACAACAUAAAAAGUUAAAAGCUGAAAGUAAAGCCCAAAAGGUUGUUAAAGAGCACGACAAUGUCCUUAAAGAGAUGAUAGAGCUGUGUCAAAAACAAAGAUUACGUAUCCAAGUGAAGGCCAAAGAAAUAAAUAUCAUUUAUUUGACUUUUGAGAAUGAAAAGUUGAAUAGAAAAUAUUCCCAAAUGGAGGAUAAUUUUGUUAAAACCCAAAAAUGAGAUUGAGAUGCUUAGAAGGUAUAUUUAGACAUUGAAGUAAAAGUUGAAAGAAUAAAGAGUUCACAUCAUGAUACUCACAAAAGAGCAUAGAGAGCUAUCUUAUCAAGUAUGAUUUGACAAAAAAAAAGUUUGAGAAGGUAAAAGUACAUAGAGUACUAUGCAACCCAAAUAAGUAAGGUAGUGAUCAAGGUAGAAAAAAUGGUUGAAAAGGCUAAGGCAUUGAGAAUAUUGGUUACACUAAUAAAAAAACAUGGACAAUGUUUAUUAAAUUUCAUUGAAGAGGCUAAGGAUCAGUAUAAAUGGGUUAAAUGUUUUUACAAGUAGAAAAUAAUAGACUCAAUGUAAAACAGACUUUAGUGGAAUAAAUGAAAAUUCACUUGUGUUAAAAAUUUUUAAAGAGGCAAAUAUUUUCUUUGUUUCUUUUUCAUACAUUGCAUUCAUUCAUACAUAAUUAAACUUUUAAUCAUGAUAGUCCAUAUAAGACCACUAAUUUAAGGUUAUGGUAUACAAAUUCAAGGAUACAUCAAACACCAGUACAAAACUCCGGCUCAAGCUAGAAGAAUUGAACAAGACAAUGCAAGUCAUGUUGAGAAAUUGGAAAAAGCUCAAGAGAAAAUCAAGGGAAAAUUGAGCAAAAUCUUUGAAGCUUUGAGUAAGUUGAAUAAAAAAAAUAUAAUAUAAGAAAAUGAUUCACGUGAAGUUAUUAAUCUUUUGUAUCCUUCGAGUUAUGACCUGUACCAGGCUUAAUCUACUCAAAGCUUUCUACCAUAAUAGCUCACAUUUCAUACAAGUUAUAUUUAUUUGGGAAUGCCACCUGUACUGAUACCAAAGUAUCUGCACAUCAUAUAACUUGAGCUAAGACUAAGGUAGACUUAUCAAAAAAUAAGAUAGACCUAUUUUUGGUUCAAAUUCAUUAAGUAAAUACAAAAAUAAGAUGGGCUAGACUAAGGAGAUUAUAUUCACACUAGCUAAAGAAGAAAAGCAUGAAUAUGGAUGAGAUUAUGGUCAGAUUCAUUAUUAUGUAAUCUAUAACAAUAAAUGAGUUCACAUGCAAAUUCUUUGAUUUUAGGCAUGAUUUUAGCAAUACAAUAUAAAAGUUUUCAUGCUUGGAAGGAUGUUUCUAGCCUAAAUAUUUUCUAUUAUUCUUUGGUAGAAAGCAGAAUAGAGUUUUUUUUAUCCUUAAGCAAUCUUUUAUAUUAUUUUUUAAGUUUUAUAUCUUUUAAGUGGAUUUCCUAGAGUGGUAAACUUUUAUUGUUCUAUAUCCUUGAUUAGAAUUUUUAGGGUGGUGUUUUUAUUUCUCUUAAUUUCUAGUUUUGGUGAUGAACUUUUAUCUAUUUUAAUCCAAUAAUCAUAUUCUAUCAUUAUUCAAAUCCUUGUGAGUUAUUUUCUUUAUGAGUUUUUUAUUUACAAUUAAUUUCAUAUUUUAAACAUCAAUUCUCGGCAUCAAAUUUAUAUCAGAGCUAUGGCAAGUCAUUCUCAUCAAGCACCAACAGAAGAGGUUAAAGCCAACACUGACGUUACAGUAAUUACCAAUGUUGACCUAAAUGAUGCCCUCAUAAAAGAGAUGUGGUAACAGAUCCUUCGACUACAACAUCAGUUAUAUAUACAAAAAGAGAAAAAGAGAAGAUAAGGAGGUAACGAAAGAGAAACGAAGAAGAUAAAAGAAAAACCAAUUCAUACCUUGGAAAUAACAAUGAUCUGAUGAUAACACAAUAUCUCACCUAUAGUAAGUUAGAGACUAUCUAAGCAGAAACUAAUUUCAACUUAAUAUAUUCAAUCUAAUUAUAAAGAUUCCUGAGUUCGAAGGGAAAAUGCAACCUAAAGAAUUCUUGGAUUAGCUAUACACAGUGGAACACAUAUUUGAAUACCAUGAUACCUUUAAAUUUCGUAAGGUGAAGCUAGUGGCCAUCAAACUUAGAAAGCAUACAUCCUUUUAAUGGAAAAUAUGAAGAACCAAAAAGAAAGAGAAGGCAAGAGAAAAAUUAUAAUUUAGGAGAAGAUGAAAAAGAGUUGAUGAGAAAGUAUCUCUCAGAUAACUUUUGACAAGAUGUCUUUCUUAAGCUCUAUAACUUAAAGCAAAGAGAUCUGUUAGAGGAAGAGUAUAUAGCUGAGUUUGAUCAUCUCAUAUUAAAAUACGAAUUGGUAGAACAAAAGGAGCAAACUAUUAUUUGGUAUCUUGAAAUAUUAAAGAUUCAGAUAGCUAAUGUGGUGUAGCUACAACCCUAUUGAAUUUUUAAUGGUGAGCUUACCCUUAAGGUGAAGAGAUAACAAAAGGAGGCCUGUGGUAGCAAGAUAAGAUUUGGGUCUCGAUAAGGCAAGACUUUUUUAAUGCACAAACCAAAAGAUGUUUUAAAUGUCAAGGGUUUGGACAUAUUGUCUCAAAAUGCCCAAGAGAAAGAUUAUGACUUUAGUAGAGGAAAACUUAGAAAAAAAAAGAAAAAGAGCUGGCUAAAAGGAUCAAAACCUUGAAGACGAGAAAGAGGUAGCCUAUGGUGAAUGUGAAGCAUCAUUAGUCAUACAAUUCAGCUUGAGUACCACACCUACUAAGAAAGAAGAUUGGUUGUGUAAAAACAUAUUCCACAUUCGAUGUACUAUUUAUGAGAAGGUAUGUGAUGUUAUAAUUGAUAGUGAAAAUUUUAAAAAUAUUGUUUCUACCUUUAUGGUGUAGAAAUUAAGCCUCAAAAUAGUGGAUCACCUCUAACCAUAUAAGCUGUCUUGUUUGUAAAAAAAGAAUAAAAUCAAGAUUAGCAAGAGGUGUUUGGUUUUUUUUUCCAUAAAAAAGUAAUACAAGGAUGAAGCGUGGUGUGAUGUAACUUUAAUAGAUGCCUGCCAUUUACUACUUCAAAGAUUUUGGCAUUAUGAUAGGAAGGUUAUUUAUGAUGGUUACUGCACCAGUUACACAUUUGUGAAAUAUGGAUACAAAAUCAUUGUAGGCCCUACCAAGCCCAUGGUGAUGUCAAAACCAACCAAAGGUGAAGGAAACAGCUUGUUUACCAAGGCUAAUUAUAAAAAAAAAAAAAAAAUUAAGAUGGGCGAUGCUUUAUAUGCACUAGUGUUGAUUGAGGGGAAUAAAGAUAAUAAGGAGCCCCCUAUAGUGAUAUAACCAUUAUUCGUAGAAUUUCAAGAUAUUGUUCAAGAAAAGUUAUUAGUUGGUUUACCACCAAUAAGGGACAUUCAACAGUGCAUAGACCUUAUCCUAAGAGCUAUUUUACCCAACAAGGUAAAAAUUUUCUUGAGGAGUUAUGUGAGAAAAAAACUAAAAUAAUGGAAAUUUAUUUUACUACAGCUGGAAUUUACCUACAAUCAUUCACUAAGUCAAACUAUUGAUUGCAGCCCUUUUAAAAUUACUCUUGUUAAGAAUGCAAUCUGUCCUUUGAUUUUAAAUCAACGUUAUACUAAUCAGCAUUUUGAUGAAGAUGUAGAAGAAAGAGCCAAGAGUAUCAAAAUAUUUCAUGAACAGGUUUAGAAUAGAAUUUUGUAGAAAAAUGAGAAAUAUAAAAGGGUAAUAAUUAUGCAUCAAAGACAUGUGAAGUUCAAAAAACAUGACUUGGUGUAGAUUAACUUGCAAAAAGAGAGAUUUUCUCUAAGAAAGUUUGGCAAAUUACAACCUAAAGCAAAUGGUCCAUUUAGAGUUCUACAAUGCAUUGCUACAAGAUAGAGCUCUCCAACACUUAUGGAGUAUCUUUCACUUUCAAUGUUACUAAUUUGUCACCCUACUAUGGCGAGAAUACUAGUUCAGACUUGAAGAUAAGUCUUUUUCAACUAGAAAAGAUUGACACUAGAAUGUCUGUAGAUCAUACAACUUGGGCUGAGACUAAGGCAAGCUUAUCUAAAAAUAACAUGGGCUUAUCCUUAGUCCAAAUCCACUAAGUAAAUGUAGAAAUAAUGUAGGUUGGACUAGAAAUAUUGUGUUUACACUAGCUAGAGAAAAAGAGUAUGAAUAUGGAUAGGAUUAGGUUCAGAUUCAUUAUUAUGUAAUAUGCAAGAGUAAAUGAGUUCACAUGUAAAUUUCUUGAUUUUAUACACGAUUCUAGUAAUACAAUCUGAAAGUUUUCAUAUUUGGAGGGAUGUUCCUAGCCUAUAUAUUUUUUAUUAUUCUUUGGUAAAAAGCAUAAUAAAGUUUUCUUUAUCCUUAAGCAAUUUUUUAAAUUGUUCUUCAAGUUCUGUAUCUCGUAGGUAGAUUUCUUAGAGUGGUAAACUUCUAUUGUUUUAUAUUCUUGAUUAGAAUUCUUAAGGUGGUGUUUCUAUAUCCCUUAGUUUCUAGUCUUAGUGGUGAAAUCCCUUUUAAUCCAAUAAUCAUAUUAUAUCAUUAUUCAAAUCCUUGUGAGUUAUUUUUUUGUAAGUUUUUGUGUUUGUAGUUAAUCUCCAUAUCUCAAACAUCAAUUCUCAGCAUCAUGCACCUAGCCAAGAGAAUAUCCAAAGUUAUAUCAAUCCUGCCUUCACUUAAAAGGUAGUUGAACCGGUUUAAGUUCUCAAUUUGAAUGAUCCAAAAGAGAAAUUAAAAUUAAAGAUGACUAAGUCUUUGAAGGACUCUAAAGUUGAUUAAAUGAUGAACAUGCUCGAUGAGAGAUUGCAAGCUGUGAAAAGUAUUGAUUUUUAAUGUACCAGAGUUUAAAAAAUGGCAGUUUACGCUAGUAAUGAGAAAUUACUCAUGUAUGUAUUCCAAGAUAAUUUAACUGGUUUUGUUGCAAAGUGAUAUGUCAAGUUAGACAAAACUCGUACCCGAUCAUGAAAGGAUCUAACUCACUUUUUCAUCAACCAAUACUACCAUAUCAUAGAUAUGACUUUCGAUUGCCUUUCCUUACAAAAUAUGGAAAAAAAAUGAUUGAGUUUAAAGAAUUUACCUCAAAUAUGGCAAGAUAUAACUAUUCAGAUCCAACUAUCUUUAACUAAGAAAGAGACAACGACUCUAUUUUUGAACACUUUGAAGUUAUCUUAUUAUGAAAAGAUGAUAGGGAGCAUGACUAAAAAUUUUGUUGAUAUGGUGAUCUUAUGCAAGAUCAUUGAAAAUGCAAUUAAGAAAGAGACAACGACUCUAUUUUUGAACACUUUGAAGUUAUCUUAUUAUGAAAAGAUGAUAGGGAGCAUGACUAAAAAUUUUGUUGAUAUGGUGAUCUUAUGCAAGAUCAUUGAAAAUGCAAUUAAGAAUGGUAAGGUUGAAAUAGGAGAGUCAUCGUGGCCAAGAAGAUGCCCAAAAAAAAGAAAGUGAAACUCAAACUAUGAGUUUCGAAGAGUAAUAAUUUAGAAAUUAUACUCAUUACCCAUAACUUAUUUACCUUACAUACUAUUCUACCAAAAAUAAUGCUUCAACUUUUUCAUACCAACUAGUUUCACAACUUUCUUAUAUACACCUAUCAACCAGUAUUCAGACCACCCACCAACGCAUACAACCGUAAUACCCUCUUACUGUAAGGCCCUCUAUGUGCCCAUCCAAUCCAAUAAGUGGUCCAAGAAAACCACGAAAUAAUCGAGAGAAGCCUAUUUUCAACCCCAUUCCCAUGAUUUAUACAAAAUUGUAUCGAAAACUCUACAACAAUCAUUUGAUUGCUCUUCUCUAUAUAAAACUACUUAAAAACCCUUUUAUUUUAAAUGGUAUGAUCCCGCUACUCAUUAUGAUUACCAUUAUGAAAUCAUAGGUCAUUCCACUAAAAAUUACACUACUUUGAAAUAUAAGAUGCAAAAUUUAAUCAAAGAUAGGCUGAUUAAAUUUGACACUAUUGAAAAUAACAUUCAAUGUCAAUGGUAAUCUAUUACCCAAUCACACCGUAAAUGUUUUAAAUGAGGACAAGGGACGUUGUAUGAAAAAGAGAGUAGAAGAGAUUAAAAUUCUAUUUAGUAAAUUGUAUGAUACUCUAUACGAGGUUGGGAUGGUACAAUCAAUGGACCUACACACCUACCGUAAGAGAUGUAUCUUAAAUCAAAGGUGUAAGUGCCAUAAUGAGGCUUCGGGCCAUUUUAUUGGGACUUGCAAUCAAUUUUAGGAAGACGUAUAGAAGUUAAUGGAUUCCUAUCAAAUUGAGCUAUAUAAGAAAGGAGAAGCCUCAAGAAGUACUAAGGUGUCUAUGACUAAUAAGUCAAAGUGGGUACCAAAGUCAAUAACUAUUUAUUAUGGCAAAAGGCCAAAAUUAAUUAUAGACAAGCUUGUCCCUAAGUUGGUGACCUUCAAAGUCCAAAGCCCGUUCAAAUAUAAGGAUGAGAAGGCUAUACCGUAGAGAUAUGACUGUGAAGUGACAAUUAAAGAACAAGAUAAGACCAUGCCCAAGCUAGACGUCACCAACAUAAUUGGUAUAGGUGAUAUAACUAGAAGUAAUACCCCAGCCCAAAUAAUAAUUGGGCUAGAAAAAUACUAAAGCCCAUCAUUUUAUUAACACAUUAUUUAGUAAAAGAAAAAUAGCUAAACUAUUAGAUGAAAAAAAAAACUUAAUUAUCGUGAAACAGAAAGGAAAUAGAGUUUUUCUUCCCCAUCUUCCUUAGGGUUAGAGAAUACGAAAAAUCAAGUUGGAGAUUCACAAUCAGAGGCUACAAUCAAGUUAAUCCUUUAAAGGUGAGUACAUACCCUCUUUUUAUUUGAAAAAAAUAUCAAAUUGAUUGCUAUUAUUUGGAGUUGAAGUUUUGAGAGGAAAAUCAAGAAAAAUCAUGAAAUCCUUCAUUAAUCUUGAUGAUCUAUUUGGGUAAAUUACUGGGCUUUGUUUAUUUCAUGUUUUUAAGAUUUAUUAAUGAUUAUUGAAUGGAGUUUGAAGGCUGAAAGUAAGGAUUUGAGUUUUUAAAGAUUGAAGGAGAAAUUCUAUUUUUGGGAGAGAUGUUGUGAUCUGUAAUAAUGAACUAAAAUAGAAUUUUGUAUUAAUGGAUAGAUUAUUGCUAUGAUUAUUAUAUAUCAUUGGAAAGCAUGUUGAAUCUAGUUUCUAAUGAAAUAAACGAAAGUCAAAUCUGAGUUUUCUAUGAAGAGUUGUCUAAUUUUAACUUAAAGAUAUGCAGGUUGUAAGACAACAGCAUCAGGGUCGAAUUACGAAAUUCUUCUUAAUUUGUAUACAAGGAUUUAUAGAUUAAGCCAUAUGUGUUUGGAAAGCUUAUUGAGUCUGUUUUCCAAUGAAACAAGCGGAAUUGAAUUUGGAGUUUCCUGUGAAUAAAUAUAUAGUUUUUAUUAGAAGGUAUACAGGCUGUUUGAGAGCAGUAUAUGACGUGAAUUUCAAAAAUUGUUAUAAUUAAUCUGCAAGGAAUUAUGAGGUGUACCAUAUAUGGUUAGAAAGCUUAUCCAGUCUAGUUUCUAACACAUUAAAUAGAUCAUAAUUUCGAUUUUGAUAUAUUGAGAUAUGACUGUUUUAAUGAAAAGAGGUCAGGCUACCAGUAUUAAUUAGUUAAGUUAACCCUUUGUGUAACUUAGUUGAUUUUUGUAUAAAUGGUCUCAAAAAGGGUUGAUUAAAUUCUAGUCUGUUGAAAUGAUCUUGGAUAGGCCAUUAAUUAUUUUGGGGAAAAACUAAGUGGUGGAAUCGAAAAGAGGUAAGUAGAAUCUCACACACUUUACUUAGUUUUGAAACUAUGUAUAUAUGUAUGUUUCUAAUUGAAUGAAUAUUUUAUUUCAUUAUUUUCAAUGUAUGAAAAUAGGAUCAAGCAUAUGAUUAUUUUGUCUUUCUUUAUAUAAACGAUGGAUCACGCUUAUGAAUGAAAUGAAAAAAUGAUUUAUGUUUAAAGAAUAAUUUUAUGAUAGCUACAUUUUUACAUCCCUGGGAAGUGGGAUCAUCGACACCAAAACUAGUUCUACAACCCUGGCUAACGGGUAAUAGUAGUUAGCAAAGACAUGAUCAUACAACCCUGGCUAACGGGUAUUAGUAGUUAGCGUAAGCCUUGGCUAACGGGUUAUAAUAAUUAGCAAUGAUCAUGAGAAUGAAAUUGUCAAUACGGCCAAUGUCACGGGUUAUAGCAGUGACCAUAGCUAACGAUAAAUGAAUGAUAAUGAUGAUUUAUGAUGAUUUUAAUGAUUGAUCCAUGAUUUGGUUUGAUUAUGAUAUUUGAAUGGCAGCAUAUUUUGCAAUGAUUUAUGAAGUGACAUAUUUUGAUAUUGAUUUAUGAAUUUAUGAAAUAUUUGAUAAAACGAUGAUCUUGAAAUGUUUUGAUAUUAUGAUUUUGAUGAAUGUUUUGAAUGAUUUAUAUGAUGUGUAAGAAAACGAUGCUUGAUCUGGUAAGGUGUGUGAGCUUAUACUUACUGAACUGUGGUUUGCUCAUUCUCUUUUUACUUUUUCUUUACAGAUGACUAAGUGAUAAGUUCGGUUAGUCUUGUGUGAAGCUAGAAGAUGAAAUGGGUAAGAUUACUUAAUCGUCAGAGAAUAUGUUGGCCAAUGAUAUUUUAAGAGGCAGUUUUGUAUUUAAUAUGGUUUGUAUUUGGAUAUAUAAAGAUGUAUCAUUAGUUGGAUUAAAGAUAUGAAUUUUACUUAGUAGAUUGUUUUAUUGAAGAAUUUUAGAAUGUUUAAGAAAGAAGGCUUCAUAUUACUUUGAGAUUUUUUUCAAGGUAAUAUAGCCGUGUUACGUCUUGAUCUCAGGACAUGACAGGGAGGUGCUAUACUCUAAAGAUGGUGGAAAGGGAAAAAAAAGAAAAAUCAAUAAUGAUUAAAAAGCAAGCUGAGCUGGAGAUAGUUUCAAAAAAAGAUAAUCCAAUACCAGUGUUUGAAAAAGAAGCCUACGAGUUCUUGAAGCUGGUAAAGCAUAAAAAGUAUUUUGUAGGGGAGCAACUAAACAAGAUGGCAGUUAGGAUCUCUUUAUUAUCAUUAUUAUUGAAUUCAGAACCGCAUCAUAACGUCAUAUUAAAGGUCUUAAACUAAACUUAUAUGGCCUACAACGUGUCAAUAGAAUAUGUGAAUCAUUUGACUGGGAACCUAGUGGUGCCACAUUAUACAGCCUUUAACGAUGAUGAAAUCUUACCAAAAGGUAAAAAAAGCACAAAGGUUUUGCACAUUAUUGUCAAAUGCAAGAGUUACAUCAUAGCCAAGGUGCUUAUUGAUAAUUUUUCUAUUAUUAAUGUUACACCUAUAUCUAUUUUAGUGAGGUUGGCCAUUGAUAUGUCCUAUAUAAAAAACAACCAUAUGAUUGUCUAAGCCUUAAACGAGACUAGGUGUAAAGUAUUAUAAGACAUUGAAAUGCAUUUACAGAUUGGGCCUUGCACAUUUAAUGUAAAAUUCUAGGUUAUGGAGAUCUCACCUUCUUAUAGUUAUUUGUUAGACAGGACAUAGAUUCACAUGAAAGAUGUUGUUCCCUCCUCUUUACACCAGAAAGUUAAGUUUAAUAUAGAAAGAUAACUGGUGAUCAUGGUUAGAGAAGAGAUUUGUUAGUAACUCAGUCUAUGAAUGUUCUUUAUGUAGAGGCUGUGAAAGAAUCAUUGGAGUGUUCUUAUCAAUCUUUCGAGCUUGUCAAUACUGUGGGCUAAAAGGUCCAAAUUACACUAACCAGAUUUCACUAGAAUUUUGGUUAGCUAGAUUAUCAAUAAAAAUUGGUAUCCCAGAGCUGGGUUGGAUAAAAAUAUGCAAGGAAUAAAAGGGCCUCCAAUAAUAAUAGAAAAUAACGAAAGAUUAGGCUUGAGAUAUGAAGCUAAAGAAUAAAAAAUAAAGAUGAUGAGAGACAACCAAUGAGGAAAAAAAAUAGUGAGGAAUAUACCUGUAAUAACAUAUAAAUCUGUAAAUUUAUAGCAAGACUUAACAAGAAAAGUUACCACCAAUUUUUUUUUUAGGUGUGAUUGGCCACUUAAUAAAUCUACCUUUUCAAUGAGGUCCUAAGCUUGACUAAGGGUCCCUAAAGAAUAGCUUCUAACCUUCUGAACAAAAUUAGGUUUGAGAGUUUCAUUACUUGUGGGGAAGGUUAUACCACCACCACAACACCCAUUUUAAUAUGGUACUAUUUAAUUUUAAAUUUUCCUAACAAAUUAUCUUGGUUCUAAUGAUUUUUAUUUUAAUAUUUAAAUAUUGAAAAUGACUUCUAAGAUUUCUCCAUUAAUUUGGUAGAAUUCUUAAAAAUACUUUCUCACCUCAAGUGUAUUUAAGAAUCCCAUUUAUUUUCUUGCAAAAGCUCUGUCGUCAAAAAAAGGUUUAAUCAUUUUUAUUUUGAUUUUUUAUUGAAAAUAUAUCUAAUUAUUUCACCAUUUGGAUCAAAUUAGAAAUUUCUUCUCACCUAGAACUUUCUUAGAUAAUCAACCAUUUGCGAUUACCAAGAAUUUCAUCAUCGGGAUUUAUUUUUAUUUUUGAUUUCUAAAUUUUUUACCAUUUGGGUAUAUUUAGAAAUUUUUUUUGUUAUUUUUGGAAAAACAUAAUAUAACAAUUUUUUUUUUUGAAAUUUCAUUUAAAUUCUUCCACCAUUUGGGAUAAAUUUAAAGAAAAUUUCUCACCUAGAGAUUUCUUAAGAAUUUUACCAUUUGAAAUUUCUAAAAUUCUCAUCUUUGGAUAAUUGUCAAAUAUUUUUAACCAAAAACUUUUAUUUGGAAACAAAUACAAUUACUUUUUAUUGAAAUUUCAUCUAAAUUAUUCUACAAUUUGGAACAAAUUUUGAGAAAUUUCUCACCUAAAGAUUUCUUAGAGAAUUUAUCAUUUUAAAUUUCUACAAAUCUCAUCCUUAGGCAAUUAGUAUUUAAUUCCAAAAUUUUAUUAAAAUUUUAUUAUUUUUUUAUUUUGAAUUGAAAAUAAAUAUUAAUUAUUAUUAUUAUUGAAAUUUUAUCUAAAUUAUUCUACCAUUUGGGAUAAAUUUAGAAAACAUUUCUCACCUAGAACUUUUAUUAAAAUUUACCAUUUAUAAUUUCUAAAAAUUUCAUUGUUGGAUAAUUAUUAUCUAUUCUCAAAAAAAUUAUUAAUGUUUUAUUUUAUUUUUUUAUUAUUUCUUCUAACUUUUUCUAAAAUUUAAUCAAACAAAAAUAAUUUAAAAAUAAAUAAAUAAAAUAAAAAAUACCAAAACAGGAACUGCCUCGGCUUGGCUAGUGUGUGUGGCUAGGCUACAGGCACAAAACUGGUUGAAAAGGCUUGGAAAGCGACUCAACUCGACUAAGGUAUAGGUUGAUUAACCACCGAAAUCUGGGUAAUUAUGCCAGAAUUUUACCCUUAAUUGCUGUUAAGCCUUUACUUGUACUUUUUCCCUUAUUUUUCUUUCUAAUUGCUAUCUAAUUGUUGUCUUUUGUUCUGUGAUUUAAAGGCCUAUUUAUAGGGAACAAUAUAGAGAAUUUCAUAUUGAUUCCAAUUUAAAAAGUUAGGAUUAUCAUGAAAAAAUAAAAUUUAUCUUUAAAAAGUUUAACUUCAAAUUUAAUUAUGAUAAAACUAAAUUAUUACCAGCCACUCCAUUUUAAUUUAUGGCCAUUCUUUUUUUUUUUCAAUUAUCCAUUUUUUUUAAAUAUCCAGAUACAUUUAAAAAAAUUAGAUAAACAUGAGGAAAUACAAUUAAAGAUAAACAACAAAUAAGCAAGACAAAAUAAGUAAUAAAAUAAAACAAAAAAGAUAAAUAAAAAAAUAUAUAGAUAAAUAAAAUAAAAACACAAUUUUGACAAUUAGGCUUAGAUCAAAUCUGAGCCCAAUUGAUUUGGGCCUUUAGCCUUGAAAUUAAAUCGGGCCUAGUUGACUUAGACCCCGUACUAAAUUGGGUGUCUAUAAUUGUCUCUCUUUGCUUAUUUUCUAUGCAACAGGAAUUAUGCAAAAAUAUAAACAUUCAUUACUUCUAAAUGUAGUUUAAUAACAAUUAUAAAAUCUCAAAACUCCAAAUAUUCACAAUUUGAAGUAAUCAAGAAUUUCACAAUCCGACAAUUAGUAAUGCAAGUUGAAACUCAAAGAUUCAUAAUUUAAGUUUAAAGAAUCACCAUUUUGAAAUUCAAAGGUUCGCAAUUCAACAAUUAGCAAGGUUCAAUUUCACAAGAAUUUGAUUCGUAAGGAUUUCAAAUUCUCAAAAUUCAUAUUUGCAAGGAUUUUGGACUUGCAAGAAUUUGAUUCUUAAGGAUUUUAGGUUCACAAGAAUUUUCAAAUUUGCAAGAAUUUGAUUCUCAAAAUUUCAAUUUCACAAGGUUUUUCAGCUUAACACGAUUUUUCAACUUCGUAAGAAUUUAUAUUCACAAGAAUUUGAUUCUCAAAAUUUUAGUUCACAAGGAUUAAAGAUUCGCAAUAAUUUGAUUCUCAAAUUUUCAAUUUCGCAAGGAUUUAGAUUCACAAGAAUUUGAUUCACAAAAUUUCAUAUUCGCAAGAUUUUUCAAUUUCGCAAGAUUUCAAAUUUGCAAGAACUUAGAUUCACAAGAACUCAAAUUUGUAAAAUUUUAGAUUUGCAAGAACUUAGAUUCACGUUUGAGAGAUUCACAUCCAAAGUUUAAUUCAAGGAUUUGCAUCAAAAUUGCAAGCCUCACAUCCAACAUUUGAAGAUUCAUAUUCUUCUAGAGAUUCACACCCAAAAGUUUAAGGAUUUUUAUUUACAAAAAAAACUUUAGGAAUUCAUUUCCAAGAUUUCAAAGUUUCUCAUUCGAGUUUCAAGAUUUAUAUUCGAUAAAUUUAGUAGUUUCACAUCUAUAUUCAAAGGUUCUCAUUAAAAAAAAUUUGGGGUUUACAUCUAAAAUUUUCAAAGCUUCUUAUUCAAGUUCAAAGAUUCAUAUUUGAUAAAUUUUUUAGUUUCAUAUCUAAAUUCAUAGGUUCUCAUUAAAAAAUUUAGAGGUUCACAUCCAAAAUUUUCAAAAAUUCUCAUUCAAGUUCAAAGAUUCACAUUCGAUUGAUUUUAGAGUUUCACAUCUAAUUUAAAAGUUCUCAUUCAAAAAAAUUUGGGGUUCACAUCCAAGAGUUCAAAGCCUCUUAUUCGAGUUCAAAGAUUCACAUUUCAUUAAUUUUAGAGUUUUACAUCUAAAUUCAAAAGUUCUCAUUUAAAACUCAAAGAUUUUCAUUUAAAACUUUUUAAAGAUUCUCAUUUAAAACUCCUUAAAGUUUUUCAUUAUUUUAACUUUAAAAAUGCUCCAUUAAAAGGCUCGACAACUUUAAAAUUCUAAAUGUUCUCCUGAUAAAACAUUUUUCCACUUAAGGAUUCUCAACUUUAUAAAAAUUCUCAAUCUUUCAUCAAAGUCAAAACUUUGUAUAUAAAGAAUGUCAUGAUUAUUAUGCAAAUGCAAAAAUCUAGAUUCUUACAAAAAUGUAGACACUAUAGUUUAAACCAUAAUUCAAAUAUUCACUACAUGAGGCAAAUGCAUGGCCAGCCAAGAUUCAAAUAUUCACAAGAUUAUAUACAUGUAUUGUUCAAUGCAAACACAAUGCUUGGAAUACAAAUAUCAAUGUCAUGAAAUUCUACUUAAUUGUAGUAAUAUGGUUCUCAAGACCUCACCAUCUUAUCUUUUCUUUUUUUAACAUCUUGACACUAACUAUUUCAGAAUAAAUUCUAUUAAUUGAUCCACAUUAUUUUCAUCAUUUGAUCAUGACUCAUAGGUUUCACAGCACUAGCAAUUUUAGAACAAAUUUUAUCCACUGAUUCAUAUUAUUUCCAUCACUUAAUCAAAAUUCAUAGGUUACAUCGACUAAUCCAUUACCAUAUUCAUCACUUGAUCAUCCCAUGUGUCUUUUCAAAUUAUCUUCUUAAGCUUCGUCCAUCUUUUUAUUUUUUUACCUCUUCAACUUUUUUUCAAAGAAAUGCAGGAAUCUUUUCUAAAUAUUAUCAUUCAUUCAUUAUCAUUUUCAAUUCUUAACAAAUAUAAUGCAAUCACAUAUUUUUUCAAUUUAUUUUAAGGAUGCAAAAAUAAGAGAGUACAAGGUGAAUUGAGAGAACAAUAAUCAAUAUAAGAAUGAGUCUAGUACAAAAAUAAAUGGACAAAGGAAAAAAUUUAAAACAUAUCACUAAGGAUGGUAUUAAAUGGUAUAAUAAUGUCUAAACAAUGAAUAUUCAAACAAUUCUUAACAUUAAUCCAAAAUUUUUUUUCAAAAACUCAUUCUAUUGUCUUUCAAAAUCAUAUGGAGCUUAUUAAAUUUUAUCCCAGCCUUAAGGGAUCUUCAAAUGUCUUUGAUCUUUCAUAUAUUUAAAUUGUUUAUCUAACUCUCAGCUCAGAUGUUUUUCUACCUAAAUUACCCUUUUAGGUAUUCAAUUUGAAUCUUCAUUUUCUCUCAUUUUACAUUUUUUUAUUUUCUCUUUUUUUCAUUUUUCUUUUUUUUCUUUUCAUUUUUUCAUUUUUUUCAUUUUUUUCAUUUUUUAAUUUUUUCUUCAUUUUUCAUUUUUUUCCUUUUCUCAUUUUCCAUCCAUUAUUGAUAUCUCCUGCACAUCAAUCUCUAAAAUACAUAACAUGAUUCCAUUGUUCCAUCAUAAAGCAUUUCUUAGCCCAAUAUAUGAUCAUUCAAUUCAAACAUUCAUAUUUUAUCAAAAUAAACUUUUACAGGUUAUAACGUAGGCUAUGAUAAAGGUUCAUGAAAGAAAUGAAUAAAAUAGGCUCAAAACACAUGUUUAAAGGGUUCAAACCAAAAGAUAAUUUUUCAUCAUGUGAUGUAGUUUGGCACUUUGCCUCAUUCCACAUCAUUUCACUACUUUUUUUUUUAUCUUAUUUAUCAUAAAAAGAUUCGCAUUUCUUUAUCCCAAAUCAUUUAUGGCAUUCAUUUUUUUUGUAAAGGGUUCUUCUUUUCUUUUUUUUUUUUUACUCUCUAUCUUUAAGGCCUUUUGUGAUCUCUUGUUUUUUUUUUCACGUAUGUUUUUUCUAAAAUUUAUCUCUUAGUAUGGAGGAUGAUCCUUGGUUAGGGUUCUUUAGGAAAAAAAUCAUAAUAGGCUCAAAAGGAGUAACAAUGGAUGGUUUUAUCAAUGGUAAAAAAAAUAUAGCCAUUUUUAAUCUCAAAUGUGAAUGCUUUUUUUGAAUAUUAUAUAUUGAACAAAGACAAACUCACGGAUCAUUAUAAAUGACUACAUAUCUUUAAGACAUAUUUAUUAUAUAUCUGCUAGCAGCUUACUUUUUUUGCUCAAAUAGUCUCUAUAGAUCAAUGUGAAUGAGUUCUGAAAACUAAAUCCUAGAAUUAUUGUUAUCAUUGUCUUAACAUUCAUCAUUGAGAAUGAGAAUAUAAGACAAGUAAAAAAACUAAGCAUGGAAUAUUGGUUAGGAUAAAAGAGAAAAUAUAAUAAAAUACAUCAUACUUGCCUUUUAUUAAAAUGAUAAAAAAUGAAAUCUUAUUACAUAAAAAAAAUCCUAACAUUACUUUGAAAGAAAUUUUAAAAUGACAAGCAACAUCCAACCAACCUUAACAUCUUUGUCCAUCUUAAAAUUAUGCCCCUGUAUGAUCAGGUGAAAAAUUUUUAUUAACAUUUUGCCCUCUGAUUCAUCAAAGCUCAUCAAGCCUUUUCGAAUCAAACUUCACACUUUGUGUUUAAAAGCAAGGCAAGUUUCAAUAAAAUGACUCAUAUUCCUAUUAUGAUAAUCGCCUGUCGCAUUAGCAUUAUACCAUUUUGGAUAGAGUAGCUUUAAUGGUUCUAGAAUAACUAAAAAUACUAAGUCAUUCUUAACUAGUUCUGGGAAUAACUUAGUGUAAGUCACAAUGCUAGGAUCAAUGUGGGCCCUUUCUUGGUUAUUUUGAGAUCUCCUUAAACCAUUUGCUUGGUUGUUAUGCUUUGAAGCUAAUAUAAUUAUAUGACUAGAUCCAUAUAUAGGUAUUUGAAAGGUUGAUUAAUAGGUUGGUGGGUAAGCUAGUUGUGGAUAUGGUUGGUAAGGGGCCUACAAAAUACCAAUAACUAUGGGAUAGUAAAUAGGAUGAACAGGUGGUGGAUAUGAAGCAUAGCUUUUGAAUUGUUUCCCAUCAAAAUUCAUAGCUUAGGCUUUAAUUUCUUUCUUUUUAGGCAACCCUUAUUUCUUGCUAGUUUUUCCUUCUUGAAGCUCGUCACUCUUGAUAGCAUUUUUAAUAAUUUCUCUUGAAAUCACCAUAUCAAUAAAGUUCUUCAUUACAUUCCUUAUCAUCUUUUCAUAAUAGAGAAUUUUAAAGUACUUACAAAUAACAUUGUAAUCUUUUUUUCAGUUAAAAAUGACUGAACUUGAGUAGCUAUGUCUUUCUACCUCUAGGCAUACUUUUUAAAUGAUUCAAUCACCUUCUUCUUCAUACUCUGUUAGGAAAGAUGCUUAAGAGUUAGAUCUAUUAUAUAUUGGUAUUAGCUGAAAAAAUCACAUGCCAUCUCACUCUAAGAGUGAAUGUAGGUUUUGUCCAAUUGGACAUACCUUCUAGCAGUAGAACCACUAAGGUUAUCUUGAAAUACAUACAUUAACAGCUUCUUAUUAUUAGCAUAGGCAAUCAACUUCUGACGGUAUAUGGUAAUAUGGGUAUUUGGACACUUUGUACUAUCAUAUUUCUUAAACUUUGGUACUUUAAACUUUAGAAAAAUAACAACAUUUGGACUAAACAGUGCCCAGCAACAUCUACAGAAUCAUAAAAACCAAUUCCUUCUACUAUUCGUAACCUUUUCUUGAGCAUAUUCAUCUUUUUGUUAGCUAUUGAACCUUCUAAAAUCUCUUUCUACUUAAGUCUUAGCUUCUCUUUCUCUUCUAGGUCAUUCAAGUUGGAGAUUGGUAUUGAUUCUACUAUUUUAUCAGUAAAUACAAGAUUUAUAUAACUCUAGUAAUGCCUUAGAUUUGAAGUCGAUGGCAUUAUUAGGGUAUGUAUACCCUACAAGGUAUGUGUAUUGCUAUAGUGGUGCAUCAUGUGUGGACUAGGCUUGAUAUGGCCUAUAACUGUGAGGAUAAAGAGGAUCAACAACAUUUUUAUGAGGAAUGGUCUUGCAACUGGUAUUUUAAUCUACAUUUUUUUUCCUUAUUCAAUUUAUUCAACGAUUUUAGAAUCUUACUCAACUACCCUUCAAGCUUUUCUUGGGCCUUCUCUAUUUUUUCCAAACAAUUUGCAUUUUUCUAUUCCAUUUGCCUAGCUCAAGCUCUGGUGUUAUACUAAUGGUAAAUGUGUUGAACUGGGUUCUUAGAUGGUGGAGCUAUCUUUAAACCUUGUACCAUAAUUAGCUUGCUUAUGUUAUUAAAUGUGUUUAUGAAAAAGCUUGCAAAAUUAACCUAACUUUUUUAAGAAUGAAUGCAUUGAAUGCUUGACCUAACAAAUUAUGAUUCAUAAGCACAUGAAUGUAUGCACAGUAAUGUAUGAUGCAUGUACUGAUGUUUGUCUCAUUAUGAUGCAUAGGUGGAUACAUAUGUUAGUAAUGCUAGAAUAAGAUACAACACAUAACAUACAACAACUUAAUCAAUAAGGAUAAAAUAACAUUUAUCAUGAAAGUCUUAUGAAUGAAGCUCAAAAAGUUCACUCAUAUGUCCUAAUUAGGGUUAUAUUCUAGUGAUGGGUAGGUGUGGCUCUAACAUAAAGUUAGCUUCUUAUGUAUUACUAUAUGUGGUUUAGGUUAAAUCUGAAGGUUCUCAAAUUGUUCUCAUAUCAUUGUCCAUCACAAACUAGUAAGACACUCAAAUCCUCACUCAUUAUAGGCUACAAAUGAAAAAAAUUCAAUUUGAGUUAGAGUAUUUCACUAGCCAUUACAGAGAUUAUCAUCUUAUGAAAGCAUAGGUACUUUACUCUCUCUUAAAAAGGACAGAACCUAGGUAUAAAACUCAUAUGAUGUAUAUGCAUGUGAUGGUAUGUGAAGGAACACAUAUAUCUUUAUUUGUAAUUUUUACAAGCAAAGUCAAAGAAUAAAAAAAAUAAUAAUUUAAUAUCAAGCAAAAAAAAAGAGAUAAUUCAUAAUUAAUUAAUGGCUUAACUCUCUAGUAUUCCCAAUAGAGUCGUCAUACUAUCAUAACAUAUAGAUCUAUAAAUUUAUAGCUAGACUUAACAAUAAGAGUUGCCACUAAUUUUUUUUAGGUGUGAUUGGUCAUUUAAUGAAUCUACCAUUUUAAGAAGCUCAUAAGCUUGACUAAGGGUCCCUAAAGAAUAGGUUCUAACCUUUUGAAUAGAACAAGGUUUGGAAGUUUGAUUAUGUGUAAGGAAGGCUAUAAUGCCCCCUAAUGCCCAUCCUAAUAUGGUAUCAUUUAAUUUUAAAUUAUCCUAACAAUUAUCUUGGUUCUAAUGGUUUUUACUUUAAUGUUUAAAUAUUAGAAAUGACUUCUAAGAUUUUUUCAUCAAUUUGGUAGAAUUCUUAAAAAUACUUCCUCACCUCAAAAGUAUUCUAAAAUCCCAUUUGUUUUCUUUAAAAAGCUUCAUCGUCGAAAGAAGGUUUAAUUAUAUUUAUUUUAAUUUUUUUAUUAAAAUUAUAUCUAGUUAUUCCACCAUUUUGGCAUAAUUAGAAAUAUCUUCUCACUUAAAUAUUUCUUAGAUAAUCAACCAUAUGUGAUUACCAAGAAUUUCGUCAUCGAGAUUUAUUUUUAUUUUUUAUUUCUAAAUUUUUCACUAUUUUAGUCUAUUUAGAAUUUCUUUUUUUGUUAUUUUUGGAAGAACAUAAGAUAACAAUUUUUUUUUUAAAUUUCAUUUAAAUUCUUCAACUACUUGGGAUAAAUUUAAAGAAAAUUUCUCACCUACAGAUUUCUUAGGAAUUUUACCAUUUAAAAUUUUUAAGAUUCUCAUCAUUGGAUAAUUGCCAAAUAUUUUUAGCCAAAAUUUUUUAUGUGAAAAAGAAUACAAUUACUUUUAUUGAAAUUUCAUCUAAAUUAUUCCACCAUUUGGGACAAAUUUAGAGAAAUUUUUUACUUAAAAAUUUCUUAGAGAAUUUACCAUUUUAAAUUUCUAAAAAUAUCAUCCUCGUAUAAUAACUAUUUAAUUCCAAAAUUUUAUUAAAAUUUUAUUAUUUUUUAUUUUGAAUUGAAAAUAAAUGUUAAUUAUUAUUAUUGAAUCUUUAUCUAAAUUUUUCUACCAUUUGGGAUAAAUUUAGAAAAAAUUUCUCGCUUAGGAAUAUUUUUAAAAUUUACCAUUUACAAUUUUUAAAAAUUUCAUCAUUAGAUAAUUAUUAUUUAUUCUCAAAAAAAUUAUUAAUAUUUUAUUUUAUUUUUUAUUAUUUUUUCUAACUUUUCCUAAAAUUUAAUCAUGUAAAAAUACUUUAAAAAUAAAUAAAUAAAAUAAAAAUACUAAAAUAGGAACGACUCGGCUCAGUUAGUGUGUUCCGCUAGGCUGCAAGUAUGAAACUGGCUGGAAAGGCUUGAAAAACAACACAACUUGACUUAGGUGUAGGUUGCUAGAUUCUGGGAUUGAUCGUCAAAAUUUGGGUAAUUAUGCCAUAAUUUUACCUUAAAUUGUUGUCAAACCCUUACUCUUACUUUUUCCUCUUUUUCUUUCCAAUUGCUCUCUAAUUGUUAUCCUUUUGCUUUGUGAUUUAAAUGUCUAUUUAUAUGGUACAAUAUGGAGAAUUUUAGAUCGAUUCCAACUUAAAAAAUUAGGAUUAUCAUGGAAAAAUAAAAUUUAUCUUUGAAAAGUUUAACUUUAAAUUUAAUCAUGAUAAAACUACAUUAUCACUAGGCACUCCUUUUUAAUUUAUGGUCGUUCAUUCUUUUUCUCAAUUAUUCAUUUUUUUGAAAUAUCCAGAUAAAUUUUUAAAAAAUUAGAUAAAUAUGAGGAAAAAAAUUAAAUAUAAACAACCAAUAAGCAAGAAAAAAUAAAUAAUAAAAUAAAAUAAAAAGGACAAAUAAAUAUAUAUAUAUAGAUAAAUAAAGUAAAAACACAAUUUUGACCAUUAGGCUUGGAUCAAAUCUAAGCCCUAUUGAUUUGGGCCUUUGGCCUUGAAAUUAAAUUGAGCCCAGUUGAUUUAGACCCCGAACUAAAUUGGGUGUCUACAAUCGAUGGUCAUUCUACAUCUGUAUAAAACUUUUAGGCUAGUAGGAUAUAUGUAUAUAAGGUUAGAGGAAGAUGCUAAAGUGAAAUUGAGUGUGGAAGAAGCUUUCGCCGAGUUGUCCAUCCAAAUAAUAGGCGAAAAAGAUACAAUAGUCUAUAAGGAAAAGGUGUUGGUCCAUCCAUGUCCACCAGGCUUUGAACUAAAAAAUUAUAGUAUUAUCGAGAUGCCUGCUAUCCUUGAUACUUUUCCAAUAUAAUUAUAACUCCCAAUUGUUUGUGCCUAAAAGUAUUGGGAUGGUCUUUUAUGUACAAGCCUCUUAUCAAUUCUUAUCUCAAUAAAAGAAUAGAAAUAAGCAUUUUCAUUCAUUUCUUCUAUUCUGGUUUCAUUUUUUGACUAGUCAAAACAUUUUUUCAGUACUUUCCAUUUCAUUUAAUUUCAGGUCUUCAAAUUAAUAUAAAGAUAAUCAUGAUGACAAUCAAAAAUUUCAUUUUGAAAACUCAAUUAAUAUUGAUGAACUUGACACCAAAGAUGACUCUAAAGAAUACACUUUACCUUCACAUCUAAUGAAAUUGAUUGAAUAAGAGAAUAAAUCUAUUAAGCCUCAUCAAGAAAUCAUUGAGAUUAUAAAUUUAGGGGAUGAUAAGAAUAAGAAAGAAGUCAAGGAUUGCUUAUCACUUCCAUCAACUGAUAGACAAAGGUUAAAAGAUCUAUUUUGAGAAUUUAUAAAUGCAUUUGACUAGUCCUAUUAAGAUAUGCAUGGGUUUAGCACCAAAAUAGUGGAGCAUAAGUUACCCAAAACUUGAAUGUAGGCCUGUUCAACAAAAAUUGAGAAAAAUGAAGCCUAAAUGUUGUUAAAGAUUAAAAGUGGUAAAAAAAAAUAGUUUGAUGUAGGCUUUCUACAAGUGACCAAAUAUCUUGAGUAGGUAGCUAAUAUAGUACCUAUUCUUAAAAAAGAUGGAAAGAUAUGGAUGUGUGUGGAUUAUCGCAAUAUGAAUAAGGCUAGGCCUAAAGAUCAUUUUUCUCUACCUUAUAUCGACACAUUGGUGGAUAAUAAGGCCAAGCAUUCGAUAUUCUCUUUUAUGGAUUAGUUUUUAGGUUAUAAUCAGAUAAAGAUGGCCCAAGAUGACAUAAAGAAAACUACAUUCAUAAUUAUAUGGGGUACAUUUUGUUAUAAAGUUAUGCCUUUUGGACUAAAAAAUGCCAGGGUAACUUAUCAAAGAGUUAUUGUAACAUUCUUUCAUGACAUAAUGUAUAAGGAGAUUGAGAUGUAUAUGGACGAUAUGAUAACAAAAUAUCAUGAAGAAGAAGACCAUGUAAUUAAUCACAGAAAGUCAUUUAAAAGGUUAAUAAAGUUUCAACUCAAGUUAAAUCCAUCCAAAUGCACAUUUGAAGCUAAGUCAAGGAAAUUGCUAGACUUCAUGGCUAGUGAAAGAGGGAUUGAAGUUGACUCAAACAAGAUAUGGGCCAUCUAGAAUCUAUUUCCUCCAAGCAUGCCAAAAGAAGUUUGAAGUUUUCUAGGCAAAUUGAAUUACAUCUCUCAAUUCAUUUUUUUAACUUACAUCCAAAUGUGAUCCCAUCUUUAAAUUCUUUCAAAAGAACAAUCCUAUUGAGUGAAAUAAAUAGUGUCAAGAGGCUUUUGAUAAGGUUAAGUAGUACUUGUCAAAUUCUCUACCACUGGUAUCACUUGUUCUAGGGAAACCAUUAAUUCUAUAUUUGACUGUACAUGAGUAAUCAAUAAGAUAUGUGUUGGGGCAACAAGAUAAGUUUGGUAAAAAGGGAAAAGCUAUUUACUACUUAAGCAAAAAGUUUAUGAAAUAUGAGUCUAAGUAUUCAUCAUUAGAGAAAAUGUGUUGUGCUUUAGCUUGGAUAACUAAAAAACUCAAGCAUUACAUGCUCUACCAUACCAUUUGGCUUAUAGCCAAAUUAGACCCAAUCAAGUAUAUUUUCAAAAAAUUGUCAUUGUCUAGAAGGAUUGUAAUAUGGCAAAUAAUGUUAUCGAAGUAUGAUAUUAUGUAUGUAAGCCAAAAAGCAAUCAAAAGAAGUGUCAUAGCAAAAUGUCUUAUAGAUCAUGUUACUGAAAGCUAUGAGCCAAUGAAACUUGAUUUUUCGAAUGAAAAAUUAAUGGCCAUUUUUUAGCUAGAGGAAGAAGAUGAUAAUGAGAAAUCCUAAAAAAUGUACUUCGAUGGGGCUGUUAAUGCCUUGAGGCAUGAAAUUAAGACAAUUUUGAUAUCUCCCAAAGGAUGUUAUUAUCCCAUUAUGGCAAGGUUGAACUUCAAUUACACUAAUUAUAUGGCAAAAUACUAUGCCUAAGUCAUGGGUUUACAAGCUGCUUUGAAUAGGAAAAUUAAAGUAUUGAAAGUGUUCAGAAAUUCAACUUUAACCAUUUAUCAAUUGAAAAAGAAUGAGAGAUAAGGGAUUCAAAACUUAUUCCAUAUCAUAAAUAUAUCUUAGAGUUAUGCAAACAGUUUAAGGAAGUUCAAUUUAAACAUUUUUCCUGUGAAAAAAAUCAAAUUGUAGAUGCACUGGCUAUUUUGGCAGUGAUGAUUCAGGUUAAUAACAAUACUAAGAUUUAGCCCAUUAAGUUAGAUAUCCAAGAUAUGCCACUACAUUGCACUAAUGUGAAAGAAGAAGAAGAUGGAAAACCUUGGUAUUAUGACAUCCUAUAAUACUUAAAGAAUCAGUAAUGCCCAGAUGAAGUAAUAGAAAAUGAUAAAAGAGUCCAAAAGAGAUUGGCUAUGGUUUCUUCUUAGAUGGUGAGGUCAUUUAUAAAAGAGCUGAGAUCAGGUGGUAUUACAAUGUGUAAAUGCAGCUAAGGUAAAGAAGAUUAUUGAAGAUGUAUACGAUAAGGUAUAUGGAGCACAUGCAAAUAAACACAUGAUGGUAGGAUAGAAUAUAAGAGUUGGAUACUACUAGUUAACAAUAAAGAAUGACUGCAUUGAUUAUAUUUAAAAGUAUCAUAAGUGUCAAAUUUAUGCCGACAAGAUCUAUGCUUCACCAUUUACUUUGCAUGUUUUGACACCACAUUAGCCAAUCUCUACAUAUAGAGAAGGCAAUUUAACCCAAAUCCAGUAGUUUCGACCCGACUCAACCUUUUAGUGUCAAUUUUUUUGUAAAAUCGAGUGUCGGGUUGGGUCGAGUAAUAUAAGAAAAAAUUCAAAAUUAGGUCGGGUUGAGGUUUAGGCAAACCCAACCUUACCCUACCCCCUACCCGAUAUAUAUAAAAAUUAUUUUUUUAAUUAUUUAUUUAAUUUUAUAUUUAUUUUUAUAAAUUUUUAUAUAUAUUUAAUUUUAUAUUUAUAUUAAAAUAAUAUUUUAUAUUUUAAAAAUAUAUAUUAUAUUAAUUUCGGGUCAGAUUAGGUCAGGUACAAUCUCAUACAAUGUCUUGUUGGGUAGGAUCAAGUUCGGGUAUAAAAAAUAAAAAAAUCAUUAGGUUGGUCAGGUUCAGGUUUUAUAUAUAUAAAGUCGGGUCAGGUUCGGAGUAAGCAAAAACCCAUCUCGACCCGAUCUGUUACCAUCACUAUCUAUAUGGGGCAUGGAUGUUUUUGGUCCCAUUACUCCAAAAAUAUCAAAUGAAAAUAGAUUCAUUUUUAUGAUGAUUGAUUAUUUUACUAAAUUAGUUGAAGUAGCUUCAUAUAUGAAUGUGACAUGAUCAGUGGUUUGCUAUAAAAAGAGAAAUAAUAUGCAGAUAUGGACUUUGAGAGAAGAUCAUCUUAGAUAAUGCUUAAAACUUAAAUAGUAAGAUGAUGAAAGAUAUAUAUGCUCAGUUCAAAAUUAAACACCAUAACUCAGCAUCGUAUCACCCACAGAUUAAUAGGACAUUAGAAGUUGCUAAUAAAAAUAUCAAAAAAAUUCUAGAGAAAAUUACUAAUACGUAUAGAGAUUGUCAUGAGAAAUUGCUUUUUGCUUUACAUGCCUAUCUAAUGUCAGUACGUAUCUUUACUAAGGCAACCUUGUUUUCCUUGAUUAUGGGAUAGAGGUUGUAUUACUAGUUGAAAUAGGAAUCUCAUCUUUUAGAGUCUUAAGAGAAGUGGGAUUAAAAAAAGCUAAAUGAAUUUAAGAGCGCUAUGAACAACUAAACUUCAUUGAAGAGAAAAGGCUAGUAAUGUUGUGUCAUGGUUAAUUAUAUCAUAUAAGAAUGAUGAGUGCUCAUGACAAGAAAGCCCGACCUCAUCAAUUUCGAGGAGAAGAGUUGGUGUCGAAAAGAAUUUUUCUUAGUUAGCGUGAUAAUAGAAGAAAGUGAACCCAAAUUGGUAAAGGUCAUAUGUGGUAAGAAUGACUUUUUUAGAUGAAACAUUAAUUUUAAUAGAGAUGGAUGGAGAUGAUCUUUCUAAUCCUAUAAAUUCUAAUACUAUGAAAAAGUACUUUACUUUAAAAAAAAAAGUCUAAGUCGAAAACCCAAAAGGGUAAUUUGAACCAAAAGUGGGUUUAUCCAAGUUGAAAAUAUGUAAAGGCAACUUGGAUGAUAAGAGUACGACAUCAUUUGAAUGGUUCACCAACAUGAAAACUAGUAUAUUUUGAAAAGCUCUAAAGCACUAAGGGCAUUAUAUGGUUGAGUUUUUUAAGAAAAUCGGAUAUAUGUUAUCAUGAUUAUUUGAUUGUAUAUCUUAAAGCAUUGUUAACCCAAAUAGCCAUCAUUGUUUACCUUUACCAUGUCCAAUUAGCCACCAUUUGUAAUAUGGUAUCUUUUUCAAAUAAAGAUAUUCAUUUCAUUAUUUAUAUCUCAUUUUCAAUCAUUAUCAUUUCUUUAAAUUAUUUGCAUUGAAUAGAAGAAAUAUAUGAUUUACGUCUUAUAUGUCUUGACAAUGGGAUAAUGAUUGAUAAUUGAAUAAUAUCAUGAAAGAUUAUAUAUUACUUUGGGGAAAGUGAAAGAUACAAAGGCAAAAGAUAAAACCUUCAAAACCUGUUAAAGGACAUUGAUUUAGGAAAGAAAAGAAAGAAAAUGAGAAAGGCGAGCGCCUACUUUGAACAAUAAAGAAAAUAGCUAAUUUUGUUCCUAUUGUUGGAAAAUUGAAGAGUUUGGAAUUCAAACGAAAAAGUUUUGAGAAUCUAUGUACCACAACUGAAAGUUCAUUAAUUAUCAUUUGCAUUGAAUAAAUUGCAUAUAGGGAUAUCUUUUCCAUUUAUCUAGAGUAGGGAUGUCACAAGAUCCAACAUAAAGAAUGCAAAUCCAAAGAUUUCAAAUUCUCGAUGGAGAAGAAAUUUUUAAGGUAAGAUUUUUUAAUCUUAAAAAAAAAAAUUUUUCAAAAUCUUUAAACCUUUGAUUAGAGGACUCUAAUUUAAAGUUGUUUAGCCUCUAUAUAGACAAGCCUAUUUCUUAGUUUAAAGUUUUUUAGCCUUUAAAUAGGGAAGCUCAUUUCUUAGUUUAAAGUUAUUUAGCCUCUAUAUAGAUGAGCUCAUUUUUUAAUUUAUUAGCCUUUGUAUAGAGGAGUUUUAUUUUGUUAAACCUCUAUUUAGAUGAUUUAUUUGGACUUUUUAAGCUUUAUGCCUCUGUUUAAAGGAGUUUGUUAAAAUUUUUCAAAAAUUGCAUGCCUUUUUUUAAAAGAUUCUUUUAAAAUUACUUAAGUUGAACCGAACUCAAUGGUUUUCUAUGUCUUUGCAUCAUUCUUAUUUCACAGAAAUGUACAAAAAGAGGUAACCAUAGACACUCCAUUUCGUCUGGUGCCUGUAAUUGAACUUCAAUUUGGGUUUUCUAGGCUUGCAAGGUAUCUAUCGGGCCUUUAAACUAGUGUAAAGCCUUAAAUUGAUUAUGGGCUUUAAGCCAAUAUAAGGUACCUUUUGAUAUUUAAGCUUUGAGCCCACUUUAUAAUUGCACUUAUGUUUUAAUUAAAUAUUAAUAAAAAAUUAAUUUAAAAAAUGAUAAAAAGUAAUAAAUGAAAUCAGGAAUUUUUUUGAAGAUCAAUCUUGAAAUCAUGAUUGUAUAGAAUUGGAAACAAAUCAAAAAAGAAAACACUGACCAGAAUCAAAUUAAAACCCAAAGUCAAACCACGAUUUAGAUCGAAUCUGUUUAUGGCAGAUUUGAUCUUUAAAUAAUGGAACCCUAAAAUUUUUGACUAGGAAAUCCAUAUAAAUCGUGCUCAAACCCACAAAUAUAUACACAGAGAUUAGGCAAAAGCUGUAAACAAAGGUUGUAGACACCUAUCUGUGUCUGGAGUCCAUCGUAUCAAUUUUUAUUAUUUUUGCCAUUAUAGUUAAUUACUAUACUAUUAUUAUAUUACUACUAUACUAUUGUUAUAUUAUUAUAGUAUUAUAUUAUAUUAUUAUUAUAGUAUGUUGAUAUUAUAUAUCUAUUAUUAUAUUAGUAUCAUAUUAUAUUAUAGUAUACUAUUAUAUUAUAUUAGGUUAUCAUAUUAUAGUUAUUAUUAUUAUUAUUAUUAUUCUUAUUAUUAUUAUUAUAUUUGAUAUUUUAUUACUUUUAGUAUUUUUAUCAGAUUUUCUUUCCUUUUUCUUGAUCGAGGCUAAACAAAUUAUGGAAACCGAAAUUGAAUCAAUUAAUCAAAGGUUUUAAUAUAGAAUCAUGUCUAGAUAAUGGUUGAAUUUAAUGUUGAUUAAAUCAGUGAACAAAAUCACGUUCAAGCAUAAUACAAUCCCAGGAUUUAAGCCUAGGAUUUAUCCUAUCCAUUUCCUAAAAUCCGUUCUAAGAGGCUUAUAAAUUGAACAAUAAAUCAAAGGAAUGGGAGAAAAAAAGUAGUGAAAAAGCUGGGGUUAUUAUUUUGGAAAUAAUUUUUGGGUAGUAGGGCUUUAUGGAAAAUUUUGGUCUUUGGGAUUUGGAUUCUUGGGAGUUUUGGGUUUGAUCUAGAGUUUCUAAGUUUAGAUUUGGGAUUCUAAGAUUAGGUUUAGAUUUCUGAAGGGAUUUUGGAGAAUUUGGGAAAAUUUUGUUUUUUAUUUUUGGAAAAUUUUGGAAUUUUGGAAGAACAUAUGAAUUUUUUAAUGAAGUUUUCGGCAAAAGUUUAAAGUUUCUAACAAGAUUUUCAGAAACUAACUAAGUUUCUAGAUUUUGGUUAAAUCUUUAGGUAGGUUUUUAAAGAGAAGGGAGAGAUCUUUUAGGUUAAAGAGAGAGCGAGCAGAAGGUUUCUGAAACUAAACGCCUAGCUUUUAUACUGGUACAAAAUGAUGAUGUUUUGAACAUCCCAGAUUCGCACGUCUAACCGACAACCCGCAUGAAAAUUUGUGUGCAAACCUGACCCAUUUUGUAGGUUUUUUUCUUCAUUUUUAUUUUAUUUUUUGAUUUUAUUUUUUAUUUUUCUUUCCUUUCUUAAGUUUUUAUUUUAUUUUCAGUAUUUUUUAUUUAAUUUUGCUAAUUUAAAAAAAAAAAAGAAAAAAAUUUUUUUUGGAAAACAGAAAAAGCAAAAAAAAUAUAAAGAAAAAUUUUCUUCCAAAUAAGUUUAAAAAAAAAAAAGAAAUAAGUCUGAAAAAGAAAUCUUUUUCAAAUAAAUUUAUGAAAUCUACCAAACUAUUGAAAAAUUUUAUAAAUUAGUUUUUUCUUAAAGAAAAAAGAAUAAUAGAAAUUUUUUUUCCUUUAAACCAUUGAAGGAUUAUUUUUAAAUUAAGUUUUACCAAACUAUUGGGAGACUUAAUGAAAGUCACAAAACUUUUGUUAAUCUUUUUACAAUAACAUCUCAUUAAACUAUUAGGAGAUCUGCCUCAAGGUAAGUCUUACCAAAUAAUUAGGAGACUUUACUAAUUUUUUGAAUAAAAUAUUAUAAUAAAUUCGAUGACAGAGCCUCUUCAAAGUGAGAUACUAGUCUCUAUGAAAACUCUUUAGGCGAGAAAAUUAUCUGAAAUUACUACAAACUAUUGGGAUAAUUUUAAGAUUAAUUUUUAAUAUUAAAAAUUUGGUAAAUUACAAAUAUGAUCAGGGCUUGGAUAAUAUGAAAUCAAAUUGGUAUUAUCCUUUGGAUGGGCGUUAUGAGGGUGUUACAACCUUCGUUAUGUAUAACCGUACUCUCGAACCUAAAAUCUGGUUUUGCAUAUUAGAAUUUGUUUCAGGUGAUCAUCACAUCUAAACAAAAAAGAUUGAUGGUGACUCCUCUAAUCUAUAUCUAGUGAUAGGUCCAUAGAUCUAUACGUUAUGACAGUUUAAUGACUCCAUUAGGGACAUCAAGAGUUAAACCAGUCAAUGAUUACUUAUUAUCCAAGCCUUGCUUAAUAAAUUCAAGAUUAUUUUUGUCUUUCUUAUUUAUUUCUUUUCAUUGCUUACACUUAAUUAUUUAUUUAUUUCUUUUCAUUGUUUAUGCUUGCUUAAUUAUUUAUUUAUUAAUUAUAUAUAUCUAUCAUUCAUUUACAUAUGCAUAACAUAAGUUCUCCACUCGAGCUCUACCUUUGGAAGGAGUGAAGUACCUAUGCCUUCAUGAGAUUUCAUGUUUUCGCAUGGGCUUGUAAAAUACUCCCACUCAAAUUGAACUUUUUUCACUUAUAACCUAUGAUGGGUGAGGAUCAGGAUGCUUUACUAGUCUAUGAUGGACAAUGAUAUAAGGAACAACUUGAUAACCUUUUAGAGUUAACCCAAACUGCAUAUAGUUAACUUUAAAAGCCUAACUAUAGCUAGAGCCUUAUCCUUUCACCCUUCGUAGUUAAUCCAAAAUUCAAGGUCAUGCUAUUAUCUUACUUAGUAUACAGUGUUUAUUCUAUUUUUUUAUUAUUAAAGUGACUACCUAAUUUCCAUGUCUUCUAUUAUUUCUUUCCUCUUGUGCAUAUUCAUAAACAUACUUAUAGAUUGCAUAGUAUUUUUACCUUAAAAGUCAUUUCAACAAAAGCUCCCAUGGACUCCACAGAACAUCAAGUUUGCACGUCAUCUAUACUUUUCAAAUGUGACUUACCUAUAAAUGUGAAAUUAGAAUCAAAGAAUAGGUAGUAAGAAGAAGGAGAUUGUUUACCAGCUAGUCAUAUUUUUACACUAUCAAAUGAAGUUUGCCUACUCCUCAAACAGAAUGAUUUGAAAAGCCUAUCAAACAUAUGAAACAACAUGACUCCUUCAAGGUAAGAAGCUUUUUGUCAGAAGUUUAGGCAUAUAGCAUAUCUCUUAUCAGUAGAUGUUGAUAACUCACUCUUUAAGGUAAUGGUACAAUUUUGGAAUCCUUCCUACCAUUACUUUAUCUUUAAUGAGAUUGAUUUGGUGCCAACGAUAAAGAAGUGUUCAACCUUAAUGGGUAUGCAUCUAUUAUAUCUAGAUAGAAUAUAUGUAAAGAAACACAAAUCAAGAAAUCGUAGGAAAUUAGGCCAGAUUCUAAGAGUGGGAAAAGAGAUCAUAAAUUUAUGCAUUUGAGAAAAAACAGAUCAUAAGGGUAUUCCAUGGGAAAUUCUCUAAGAUUUCAUUGUUAAAAAUUCGGAUAAUGAUCAAUGAAUAAAUGUAUUCAUUCUAGCCAUAUAUGGGAUGACCAUUUUUCUUAAGAUCUUAGGCCAUAUUGAGAUAGAAGUGGUUGAUCUAUUUGAGCAUAUCAAAAAAAGGUGUAACACUUCACAACUAUCUUGGUAGAAACCAUCAGAUCUCUGAACUUUUGUAGACAAAAUGAUAAGGCAAGAUUUAUGGGUUGCAUACCAUACUAUAUCUGUGGAUGAAAAGCCAUUUUCAAAUACAAAAAAAGUGUUUUCUCCAAGCUUUAUUUUUACAGUCGAGUCCCAAUUAGGGAGUUCUUUUAGAGCAUUUGGCUAAAAGAAAAUACUCAAAAGGGCAAAAAUGUCUAUUACAAAAGUUCAUAGCUGGUUAGGUAAAAUGGCUAGCUCCGUAGAUAAACAGGGAACUUAUGUUGUAUCAAUGUGAAGAUAAAAUAAGGGUCCCACUUUUAGGGUUAUAGGGGUCAACAAGUUAUACACCACUAAUGGUAAGGAAACAAUAUGGAGCUGAAUAGUUUACUCUUAUGACUUGUAAGCUCAGCCAGUUUGACUAUUUAUAUGGGAAGCCUAGAACCUUUCAAAAGAUUAAUAGUAUGAUUAAGGCUUGGAAAAAGCUUAAGAGAGUAAGUCCUGGACCAUUUGCUAAUAAGGCCACUCAAAAAUAUCUGAUUUGAAGAACCAAAAAGGACCAAAAUGUGGCGUCUAUGCCUAAAGACCAUUACCAGCUAAUAGACCAAGAAUCAAACGAUGUGCCUCUAAAAUCAUAAUCUAAAAGGAAACAACAUGAAGUAGAAAAAGAGAAACUAAAACAAGAACUUUUGAAGCUUCAGAAAGAAAAGAAACAGUGGCAAAACAAAGCAAAAAAAUUAGAAAUCCAAGUCCACAGGAUUUUCAAGGAAUAUAGCAAGGCCCAAAAGGUUGUCCGAUAACAAGAUAAUGCUAUUAAGGAAUUGAGAGAGCUAAGACAAAAGCAUAAGAGAUUGUGCAUAUAGGUGCAGGCUAAAGAGACAAACAACAUGGAUUUGGCUUAUGAGAAUGAAAAGUUGAAAAAAGAAUGUACAUAAAUAGAAAAUAAUUAUGUUAAAGUUUAAUAAGAAAAUGAAAUGCUCUCAAAUUACAUUUUGACCCUGAAACUAAAGUUGGAUGACUAGAGAAACCACAUUAAAACACUCACAAAAAAGCAUAAAAAAUUAUCUUAUCAGGUGUGGUUCAGCAAAAGAGAAAGAUUAGGAAGACAAAAAAACAUAAAGCAUCUCAUAACUCAGAUAAGCAAAGCAGUGAUCAAGGUAAGUGAAAUGGCAGAAAAGGCUGAGGUGUUAAGAGCUUCAGUCACACCAGCAAAAGGGCAUGGAUAAAGAUUGCUAAACCUCAUUAAAGAGGCUAAAGAUCAGUAAGAGCAAGUUAGGCAUUUUUAUAAAAGGACAAUGUUAGAUUUGAUGUAAAACAGACUCCUAUAGAAUAAAUGAAAGUUUACUUUUGUUGAAAUAAAGGCAAACAUUUUUCUUUUCUUUCAUUUUUUUUCAUGCAUUGCAUCAUAUUCAUUCACUAUCAUUCAUUGUCAUGACAUGAUCACUGAUUUUAAUUCAUGGUACUAAGGUGCAAAAAUAGCUACGCAUUCAUAUAAUACUCAAGCUAAAGCCAGAAAGAUGGAGUAGGACAAGGCAAAUUAUCUUGAAAGAAUAGAAAAAGCUCAAGAGAUACUUAAAGAAAAAUUAAGUAAAAUUCUAAAAACUUUGGAAGAGGGAAAUAGAAAAAAGGCAAUAAAGGAAGAUACCUCAUCUGAAGCUAUUGAAUCUAUAUAUGCUUCAGGUUUUGGUCCAUAUCAGACCCAAACUGCCCUAAUGUUUCAACCACAAUAGCCAACCAUUCCAAAUUACAACUACUCAUAAAUGACUUAUGUACCUAAUCAUGAGAAUGUCAGAGUUUAAUAAUUUUAUUUUCAUCAAAAAGGUAGCUAGACCCAUUCAACUCUCUACUUUGGAUAAGAUAAAUGAGAAAGAAAAGUUGCAGGCAACUGUAUCUUUGGAAAAUUUUAAGAUCAAUCAAACCAUGAAUAGGAUCAAAAAAAUAUUACAGGCUGUAAAAAGAAUUGAUUUUUACAUAUCCAUGGAUGCAGUAAGGCUUUGUUUAGUACCAGACAUGGUGAUACCUCCCAAAUUUAAAGUACCAAAAUUUAAAAAUAUUAUGGUCCUAAGUGCCUCAUCACACAUAUCACAAUUUAUUGUUGCAAGAUGGUAGCGCAUGCUAGUAAGGAGAAGCUGCUCAUACAUGUCUUUCAAGAUAACUUGACUGGGUUUACUACAAAAUGGUAUGUGUAACUAGAUGAAACUCGCAUAAAGUCAUGAAAAGAUCUGACCAGAUCAUUUAUUAAUCAAUAUCACCACAUCAUUGAUAUAGCCCUUGAUAACUUUUCCUUGCAAGAAAUGGAAAAAAAAAGUAUCUAAAUCCUUCAAGUAAUAUGUCCAAAGGUGGCAAAAUGUAGCUACUCAGGUAUAACCUCCCUUGACAAAAAAAAACUAUAGUGCUAUUCAUGAGCACUCUAAAGUCGUUAUACUAUGAAAGAAUGAUAGAAAACAUGCAUAAAAACUUUGCUAAUAUGGUGAUUUCAAGAGAGAUCAUCGAAAAUGCCAUAAAAAAUGGCAAACUUAAAGGAAAGAAGUCUUAUGAAAAAGCACCUAAGAAAAAAGAGAAUGAGACUUAAGUUAUGAGUUUUAAAGGGUAAAAAUUUAGAAGCUACUCUCGGCCAACUUAUCCCACAUAUCACCACACUGUGAAUCAUACUUCCACUUCUUCUUACCAACCAAAUACAUGACUUUUUUAUCUAUCCUCACUACGAUCACCUGCCCACUUAGUCAAUAUAACAAGUAGUGCCCAACCGUGAACCAUAAAUAAGGGAAAGAGCCACAUUUGAUCCUAUACCCAUAAGCUACAUAAAGUUAUAUCAAGAGCUCUAUAAAAACCACCUUAUUGCUUUCAUUCUUGUAAAAUAACCUGAAUAUUCAUAUCUUAAAUGGUAUGAUGUCACUGCCUAUUGUGACUACUAUUAUGGAGUAAUAGGCUAUUCUAUAAAAAAAUUACCUUUUUUUUAAGUAAGAAGUGCAACAUAUGAUUAAAUAAGAGCUUAUAAGUUUUGAUACUAGUGAAAACUCAGCACCUAAUAUUAGCAAAAUUCCUUUACCUAAUUAUACAGUCAAUGCCUUGAACAAAAAUAAAAAGCACAUGGAAAAAAAGGUGGAAAAGUUUAAAAUGUCAUUCAAACAGCUGUAUGUUACUUUAUAUGAAGCUGGGUUGAUACAACUAGUAGCUUCACGCACCUAUGCAAGAAGAUGCAUCCCCAAUCAAAGAUGUAAGUAUCAUAAUAGAGUUUCAAGGCAUUCUAUUAAUAUCUAUAAAUAAUUCUAUGAUAAGGUAGAGAAACUAAUAGACUCAUACCAUAUAGAGUUAUAUGAGGAGUCAAAAGCUUCGAAAAGAUAUUAGGGUGGCUAUAACAGAUAAGCGGGUGCCAAAACCUAUCAUCAUAUGCUAUAAUGAAAAGUCACAAUCAGUUGGAAAUAAGUUUGUUCCCAAAGUAAUAGUUUUUAAAGUUCUAUGCCCAUUCAUUUACAAAGAUGAAAAGGUUGUACCAUCAAGAUAUGAUUACAAGAUGACAACCCAAAAGUAACAAAAAGUUAUGCCAAAGUCUGAAUCUGCCAACAUAAUAAAAGUAUGAGGCAUAACUAGAAGUAAAAGAUGUUAUACUCUGAAAACUUUAAAAAAAACAAGAAAAAAAAAAGAGAAGCAGACUAAACCAAAAAAAAUUUUAGAGGAAGCCACCUCAAGGUUUGUGUUAGAAAAUGAGUCUUUUAAAUUUUUAAAGCUAGUAAAAUAUAGUGAAUACUCUAUGAUGGAGCAAUUAAAUAAGAUGUCAACCAGAAUAUCUCUGCUAUCACUUCUUUUAAACUUAGAACCACAUCACAAUACCUUGCUAAAGGUAUUGAAUCAGGCUUGUAUGGCCCACAAUGUAUCUAUGAAGUAUGUUAAUCAUUUGGCAGGAAACUUUGUGGUGCCUCAUCAUAUCUCUUUCAGUGAUGAUGAGAUUUUACCUGAAGGUAAAGGGAGCACUAAUGCUUUGCAUAUCACUAUUAAAUAUAAAGGCUAUAUAAUAGCCAAAGUCCUUAUUGAUAAUGGAUAGGCUAUUAAUAUCAUGCCCAUGUCCGUUUUAACCAAGCUACCUUUUGAUAUGUCUCAUAUCCUAUGUAGUCAUUUAGUGGUUUGAGCAUUUGAUGAGACCAGACGAAAAGUCUUAGGGGAUGUUAAGUUACCCUUGUAAAUUGGAUCAUGUAUCUUCAAUAUAAAAUUUCAGGUCAUGGAUAUCUCCAUAUCAUAUAGUUGUUUAUUAGGAAGGCCAUAGAUCUAUAAGGCAGGCACUGUUCCUUUCUCACUACAUUAAAAGAUUAAAUUCAAUGUGAAAAGAUAAUUAGUGGUUGUGGCUAAAAAAGAAUAUUUAUUCGUGACACAACCUAUAAAUGCCUUAUAUGUAGAAGUGGCAGAAGAGUCAUUAGAAUGCUCUUAUCGAUCUUUUAAACCUAUCAAUGCAGUAGGUGAAGAGCUCAAAUUCAAUCAAAUUGUGAUCAAUCAAAUGAUUAACAAGGGUUAGAGUAUUGGGUUCAACUUGGGUAAAAGCCUUCAAGAAAUGAGAGAGCCUCUGAAGAUUAAAGAUAAUAAUGGUCUAUUGGGAUUAGGUUAUGAGAAGGAAAAAAUGUGAAGCAACAAUAAAAAGACAAAGAGUGGGAUGAUGGUUGCUCCCUAUCUAAAUAAAACUUUUAUUGUUUGAGAAUACAUACACCCAAGAGCUAAGAAAGAUAUAAGAAAAGAACCAAGAUGGGAGGAAGCUUUUACCAAAUUAUCCAUUCAUAUGAUGGAUAAUGAAAGUCAAAAUGAAGAAGCUUUGGUUUACCCAUGCUUACCUCGCUAUGAACUGAAAAAUUGAAGGGUCAUCUAGAUGCCUAUUGUUCCUAAUAUUUUCUCAAUGUAAUCACAUCUCUUAACUAUUUAUGCCCAAAAACAUUGGGAUAAACUCUUAUAUUUAGGCUUUUUAUUUUUUAUUAUUUCAAUAAAAGUAUAAACAUGCAUUUUGUCCAUUUCUUCUAUUCCAUUCAUUAUCCCAUCAAAGUAUCUCACCAAUAUUUCCUAUUUAAUUAACUUUUAGGUUGCCAAAUGAAUAUAAAGACAAUCAUGGCAAUGAUCUGGGGUUUAAUUUUGAAAAUUCAAUUAAUACCGAUGAACUUAAUACUAAAAAAGACUUUGAAGAAUAUACUUUGUAUUCAAAUUUAAUGAGACUAAUUGAACAAAAAGAUAAAUCCAUUGAGCCUUAUCAAGAAGUUAUUGAAAUGGUCUUCACUUCUAACAAGUUAAAGGAUCUACUGUGAGAAUUUGUAAAUGUGUUUGCCCGAUCCUACUAAGAUAUACUUGAGCUCAACACUUAAAUAAUAGAACAUAGGUUACCAUUGAAACCUGAAUGCAAAUCAGUCUAACAAAAGUUGAGAAGAAUAAAACUAGAGAUGUUAUUAAAAAUCAAAAAAUGAGUAAAAAAGUAAUUUGAUGCACGCUUUUUGCAAGUGGGUAAAUAUUUUGGAUGGGUGGCUAAUAUAGUACCUAUCCCGAAAAAAAGUUGAAAAAGUAUGGAUAUGUGUAAACUAUUAAGAUCUAAAUAGAGUUAGUCCGAAGGAUAAUUUUUUUUUUGCCUUAUGUUGAUACUUUGGUAGAUAAUACAGCCCAACAUUUGGUGUUCUCUUUUAUGAAUGGAUUCUCUAGUUAUAAUCAAAUAAGAAUGGCCUAAGAUGAUAUGAAAAAGACCACAUUUGUCAUUAUAUAGGGAAUUUUCUAUUAUAAGGUCAUGUCUAUUUUAUUGAAAAAUGCUGGGGCCAUCAAAAAACUGUUUAAUCUUGUCCUGUGGGAUUUAUAGUCAGUGAAAGAGAGAUAAAAGUUGACCUAGACAAAUUUGAGCCAUUAAGAACUUAUCCUCUCUAAAGACCAAAAAUAGGUUCGAAGCUUUUUAGGUAGAUUAAACUAUAUUUUUUUUAUUUAUUUCUUAACUCACCCUUAAAUGUGAUCCCAUCUUUAAGCUUUUCCAAAAGAAUGAUCUCGAUCAAUAGAAUGAGAAAUACCAAAAAGCUUUUGACAAGGUCAAGCAAUACUUAUCAAAUCCUUCAAUAUUAAUGCCACCUAUUUCAGAAAAGCCAUUAAUUCUAUAUAUAGUGGUAUACGAAAAGUCAAUGGGAUGUGUGUUAGAGUAACAAAAUAAUUUCAACAAGAAAGAAAAAGCUAUUUACUACUUGAGUAAAAAGUUUACGAAAUAUAAGUCCAAGUAUUCAUCACUCAAAAAGAUGUGUUAUGCUUUAAAAGACUCAGGCAAUACAUGUUAUACCAUACAACUUGGCUCAUAGCUAAACUAGAUCCAAUCAAAUAUAUCUUCAAGAAGCCAUCGCUAUCAGAAAGAAUCGCAAGAUGAAAAAUGAUGCUCUCAGAAUACGACACAGUAUAUGUAAGUUAAAAAGUAAUUAAAUGAAGCAUCAUUGCUAAAUUCCUCGUGGAUCAGGCUACUAAAGAUUAUGAACCUAUGAAACUAGAUUUUUUAAAUGAAGAAUUAAUGGCCAUUUCAAGAGUAGAAGAAGAUAAAAAUGAAGAAUGAACAUGGAAAAUGUAUUUCAACGGUGCUACCAAUGCCAUGGGGCAUAAGAUUAGAAUAGUAUUAAUAUCCCUAACAGAAUAUUACUACCUUAUGAUAGCAAGAUUAAAUUUCAACUACGUUAAUAAUGUGGCUGAAUAUGAAGCUUGUGUUAUAGGAUUGCAUGCUGCUUUAGACAAAAGAAUUAAGACAUUAAAGACAUUGAAGAUUCAGUCUUGGUUAUCUAUCAACUAAAGGGUGAAGGAAGAUAAGGGAUUCAAAACUCAUCCAUUACCACAAAUACAUCUUAAAGUUAUCUAAGCAAUUUUAGAGCAUCCAACUUGAACAUUUGCUUGAUAAAGAUAAUCAGAUAGUAGAUGCUUCGGUAACUCUAGCUAUAAUGAUGCAAAUUGAUGAUACCAUUAAAAUUCAACCCAUCAAAUUAGAUGUGAAAAAUACAUUGACGUAUUAUGCCGACCUGGAAGAAAAAGAAGAUGGUAAUCAUUGGUAUCACAAUAUUAUGCAAUAUCUAAGGAAUCAACAGUACACAAAUAAGCAAUAAAAAAUGAUAAAAGACUCCUAAAAAGAUUGGCUAUGGGAUUCUUUUUAAAUGGAAAAGUUUUGUAUAAGAGAAGUAGAGAACAAGUAUCACUACGUUGCAUAAGUGCUUCUAAGCCAAAAAGAUUAUUGGGGAAGUCCAUGAUGGCAUAUAUGGUGCACAUACAAAUGGAUACAUGAUGGCUAGAUAGAUCAUGCAAGUUAGAUAUUAUUGGUUGACAAUAAAAAAAUAUUACAUUGAUUAUGUUCGAAAAUGUCACAAGUGCCAAAUUUAUGCUAAUAAAAUUCAUGUCCCACCUACUACUCUACAUGUUAUGGCACCAAUUUAACCAUUUUCUACAUGGGAAAUGGUUGUCAUUGGUCUCAUUACCUUAAAGGCCUCAAACAAAAAUAGAUUCAUUUUUGUGAUGAUCGAUUAUUUCACUAAAUAGGUUGAAGCUACUUUUUUCAUAACUGUGACUAGAUCAGUGGUUUGCAAAUUCAUCAAAAGAGAGAUAAUCUAUAGAUAUGGACUCUUGUAGAGGAUCAUUUCAGAAAAUGCAAAAAACUUCAAUAGCAAAAUAAUGCUAGAAAUAUACGCUCAGUUCAAGAUUAAGCAUCAUAAUUCAGCUCCAUAUUGUCCAAAAAUGAAUGAAGCAGUGAAAGCUGCAAAUAAGAAUAGCAAAAGGAUUCUGAAAAAGAUAACCAAAAUAUAUAAAGACUAGCAUGAAAAAUUGUAUUUUGCUCUACAUGCUUAUCAAAUAUCUGUACGUACUUCCAUCAAGGUAACUCUAUUUUUCCUAGUCUACGGAAUGGAAGCUAUACUGCCGGUAGAGGUAAAAAUCCUAUCUUUAAGAGUCUUAAAAGAAAUGGGAUUAGAAAAAGCAAAAUGGAUUCGGGAGCGCUAAAAGUAAUUGAACUUUAUUGAACAAAAAAGACUGACAGCACUCUACCACAGCUAGCUAUACCAAAUGAGAAUGAUGAGAGCUCAUGACAUAAAGGUCUAACUUCAUCAAUUUCAAGAAAGAGAGUUGGUAUUGAAAAGAAUUCUUUCAAGCCAACAUGAUGAUAAAGGGAAAUGAACUCCAAAUUAGGAAGGAACAUAUGUUACAAAAAGAGUUUUUUCAGGAAGAGCCUUAAUCUUGUCAGAAAUGGAUGGAAAUGAGCUUCCUAAUCCUAUUAAUUUUGACGUUGUGAAGAAAUACUUCACUUGAACUAAAAAAAAAAAAAACAAAAAGUUUAAGUUGAAAACCUAAAAAGGUAGCUUGAACCAAAAAAGAAAAAUAAAAUUCAAGUUGAAAACUCGAAAAGGGUAGCUUAAACUAAAAAAAAAAAAAAGUUCAAGUUGAAAACCCCAAAAGGUGACUUAAAUGAGAGAAACUCGAAUGAGUAAAAUAUGAAAUCACUUGAAAAGCAUAACAGAUACAGUGAAUUUUAAAGAGUUUGAAGGUGUUGGGGCAUUAUGUUUUGGUUGAAUUUUUGAAGAAAUCCAAGAUUUAUUGUCAUGAUUACCUGAUUACUUAUAUUGGGGCAUCAUUAUUCUAAAUAGCUAUCCCUAUACACCUUCAUCUUGUUCCCAGCCAUCAUUUUUAAUUUAUUAUUUAUCCAAAUAAAUGAUAUUUGUCUUAUUCUCCACUUUUGAUAUAUAUUUUUCCUUUUUCUUUAUGCCUUACCAUGAAUAGAAGAAAUGCCUAACUUACAUCUCAUAUUUUGAAAUUUAGAUAAUGAUUAAUAAUUGAACAAAGUUAUAAAAAACUGUGUGUUACUUUGAGAAAAUUGAAAGAAAACAAGGACCAUGGAUGAACUCCUCUAAAUAAAAGAAAAAAAUCACUGAUUUUAAAAGCUUUCCUUCGAGUAAAUACUUGUUCAGGGUAAUAAAGGAUAGUUUUCUUGCCAAAGAUGUACAGAAAUAAGAAUACAGAUGAAAAUUGUGAAACCCUUAAUACCAUGAUGGAUGUCACAUUCGCAUCCUAGAUAGGGUAUACAUUCAUAUCAUUGUAUGAUCAUUCAUUACAGAUCCGAUCUUGAUCUAAGCCAAAUCAUAUUUAAACUUGCGACAUCGUCUCAGUCAUUAAUUUAUGACCUUGACUUUAUCUUGGUCGCUCUCAGACUCGCGGCAUCAUCUCAGUCAUCCGAUCUUGAUUCAGGUUAGAUCAUUUUAAGACUCGUGACAUCGUCCCAAUUAUUAAUCUAUGACCUCGACCCAAUUUUGAUCAUUCUCAAACUCGUAACAUCAUCCCAAUCAUCUGAUCUCGAUUCGAGUUGGAUCAUUUCAAGACUCACGACAUCGUCCUAAUUAAUAAUCUACGAUUCAGACUUGAUCUUGGUCACUUUUAGACUCGUGGCAUCAUCCCAAUCACUCGAUAUUGACUCAGGCCAGAUCAUUUUAAGACUCACGGCAUCGUCCGGGUCAUUCAUUUUUUAUCUUGAUUCGAUCUUGAUCACUUCUAGACUUGUGACAUCGUACCAAUCGUCCAAGCCAGAUUUAUGACAUCGUCUCAAUCAUUCAUCUUUGACCUUGACUCGGUCUUGGUCACUUACUGACUUACAGCAUUGUCCUAGUCAUUCAGCUUCGACUCGGUUCUGGUCAUUUUCCAACUCGCAGUUCAUUCCCAAUCAGUUUUACUUGUGAUUUGAUUCGAACAAAGUGGAUGUCUAGGUCUUUGCAUCAUCUCUGUCCAAUAGUGAUGUGCAAAAAUGGAUAGCUGUAGACACCCAUAUGUGGCCGAGGUCCAUCGCAUCAAUUUUUAUUAUUUGUUGCCACUACUUUUGCAUUACAAAACUAUUAUUAUGUUACUACUAUACUAUUAUUAUAUUAUUAUAAUAUUAUAUUAUAUUAUUAUUAUAGUAUGUUGAUAUUAUAUUACUAUUAUUAUAUUAGUAUUAUAUCAUAUUAUAGUAUAUUAUUAUAUUAUAUUAGGUUAUCAUAUUAUAGUUAUUAUUAUUAAUAUUAUUAUAUUUGAAAUUAUUAUUACUUUUAUUAUUUUUAUCAGAUUUUCUUUCCUUUUUCCUGAUCAGGGCUGAACAAAUUAUAGAAAUUGAAAUCUAAUCAAUCAGUCAAAGGCUUUAAUGCAGAAUCAUGUUUGGAUAAUGGUUGAAUUCAAUGGUGAUCAAAUCAGUGAACAAAAUCACACUCAGGCAAAAUCAAAUCCCAAAAUUCAAGCCUGGGAUUGAUUCCGUCCAUUUUCUAAAAUCUGUUCUAAGAGGGCCUAUAAAUUGAACAAGAAAUCAAAGGAAUGACAAAAAAAAAGUAGUGAAAAAGUUAGGGUUAUUAUUUUGGAAAUAAUUUUUAGGCAGUAAGGUUUUUGGAAAAUUUUGGUCUUCUGGGAUUUAGAUUCUUAGGAGUUCUGAGUUUGAUCUAGAGUUUCUAAGUUUAGAUUUGGGAUUCUAAGAUUAGGUUUAGAUUUCUGGAGGGAUUUUGGAGAAUUUGGGAAAAUAAUUUUUUUUUGUUUUGGAAAAUUUUGGAAUUCUAGAAAAACAUAUGAAGUUUUCGGUAGAAGUUUGAAGUUUUUAAUGAGAUUUUCAAAAAUUGGUGAAGUUUUCAGAUUCCAAUUAAAUCUCUAGAUAGGUUUUUAAAGAGAGGGGAGAGAGUUUUUGGGUAAGAGAGAGAGUGGGUCAAAGGUUUAUGAAACUAACCAUAAAGACUUAGCUUUUAUACUAGUCCAAAAUGACAAUGUUUUGAACACCUCAGAUCUUUUCAUCUACCCAACAACCCAUAUAAAGAUUCACGUGCAAACCCAACCCAUUUCACAGUUUUUUUUUUCUUUUUCAUUUUAUUUUUUCAUUUUAUUUUUUAUUUUUCUUUGCUUUAUUAAAUUUUUAUUUUAUUUUCAGUAUUUUUUUAUUUAAUUUUGCUAGUUUUCAAAAAAAAAAAAGAAAAAAAUUUUUUUUGAAAAAUAGAAAAAGCAAAGAAUAAAAAAAUAUAUUUUCAAAAAUUAAAAAAAAUAAGUUAAAGAAAAAAAACCUUUCAAAUAAGUUUAAAAAACAAAGAAAUAAGUCUAAAAAAGAAAUCUUUUUCAAAUAAAUUUAUGAAAUUCACUAAACUAUUCAGAAAUUUCAUAAAUUAGUUUUUUUUUUAAAGAAAAAAAAUAGAAUUUUUUCCUCUAAAUUAUUAAAGGAUUAUUUUUAAAUUAAGUCUUACCAAACUAUUUGAGGACUUAAUGAAAUUUACAAAAUUUUUAUAAAUCUUUUUACAAUAAAAUCUUAUCAAACUAUUGAGAGAUCUGUUUCAAAGUAAAUCCUACCAAACUAUUAUAAGAUUUUAAUAAUUUUUUUAAAUAAAAUAUUAUAAUAAAUUUGAUGAUAGAACCUCUUUAGAGUGGGGUAUUAGUCUCUAUGAAUACUCCUGAGGUGAGAGAAUUAUCUUAAAUUACUAUCAAACUAUUAGGACAAUUUUAAUUUUAAUUUUUAACAUUAAAUAAUUUGGUAAAUUACAAAUAUGAUCAAAACUUGAUUAAUCUGAAAUCAAACUAGUACUAUAUUUUAAAUGGGGGUGCUAUAACAUUUUUCACAUGUAAUCAUACUCUCGAAUUUAAAAUAUGAUUUAGCAUAUCAAAAUCUGUUUUAGGUGGCCAAUCACACCUAAACAAAAAGAUUGGUGGUGACUCCUCUAAUCCAUGUCUAAUGGUAAGUCAACGAAUCUAUACGUUAUGACAAGGGUUUUUGAAUUUUUGGUUUUAUUUUAUUUUUUGAGAUUUUUUGCCUUGGUUUUUUUUUUUUUUUUGGAAUUGGGAUUCAAUCUCUUGUUUGAUUGGAUUUCUAUUAGGUUUCUAAGGAUUUUGGAUUCAAGUUUUUGAAUUUUUUUUAGAUUUUUUGAAAUUUUCUUUGAAUUUUCCUAUAAGGGGUUGAAGUUCCUAGCAACUAGCGUUAAAAAUCUCACUAGCUUCUAAAAUUUUUUCGCUAGAUUCUGGGUAACGUUGAAUUUACCGUUUGAAUGUUAGAAAAAGAAACAGAGAAAAAACGGUGUUAAAGAGAAAAGAUUCCAAUGGUUCUGAAAUGAAAAGAGGAGAUUUAGGGGUUUCUAUUCUUGUAUAAAACAACACUAUUUUUUGGAUUCAUAAAAACUUGGGAUCCGUGCAUUUUGCCACAUUCCAACCCAACCACUAGUAUGAUCUAUUCUUCAACCCGAAUUUCUUUUUUGCUUUAAGUCGAGCCAUGCCCUAGUUGAGUGUUAGUCACGUCGAUCCCUGUGCUUGCAGCUACAUUCUUCAGUUGCUAAGCCAAGUCGACUCGAGGUAUUUUUUAUAUGCUUAUCUUAUUUGUUUGUUUUAUUUAUUUAUUUAUUUAUUUAUUCAUUUAUUUAUCUACUUGUUUUUUAAAAUACCUUUACAAAAUCAUAUUUAAAUAAAAAAGCCUUACUAAUAGAUUGCAGAGCUAAUAUUUUAUUUUCAAAAUAAAGUUUUAUCAACAUAUUAGAAUGCUUUACAAAUUUUAAUUUAAAAAAAUAAUUUUUAAGAAAAGCUUUACCAAUUUAUUGAAGGGCCAAUAUUUUAUUUUCAAAAAUAAGAUUUUAUCAAUAUAUUGGAAAGUCUUAUAAUUUUUUAUAAUUUUGAAUAAAAUAAAAUAAAAUAAUAUUUUUUUUCAUAAAAUCCUACAAAUAUAUUGGAGGAUAAUUUUUUAUAGAAAAUCUUACCAACGUAUUGAAAGAUAUUUUUUACCAUAAAUUAGGUUUAUAAAAAUUUACUUCUACAAGCAAAAUUAAAUGAAUCUGAUGGUGAAACUUUUUUAAACCGUGACAAAUAGUCUCAUUGAAUACUCUUAAAGUGAGAAAAAUUUCUAAAUUAUUACCAACAUAUUGGAGUAAUUUAAAGAAAAUUUCUAAUGUUAAAAUUAUUUGGUAAAAUUAUAAAUAUAUUUUAAGGCUUGAAUAACUUAGAAUCAAAUUAAUACCAUCUUUUAUAUGAGCGCUGUAAGGGAUAUAAUAUUUCUUACAUGUAAUCAUACUCUCGAACCUAAACUUUGGUUUCAUAGACUAGAAUCUACUAUUUAAAGAUACUUAAGUUAAUCUUGGGAUUCUUUUUUAAAUAGGACAAAUUUAGUCAGGUGGCUAAUCACAUCUAAAAAAAAAGAUUAGUGGUGACUCAUUUAAUCUAUGUCUAGUGAUAAAUCCACAGAGCUAUUCAUUAUGAUAAAACUCAAAUCUCAACAUUUACAACUAUUUUUCAUAUUCUCAAAUAGUCUCCUUAAUUAAAAAAAAAAAAAAGUAGUCUAAAGAAAAAAUUAAGUAUGCUUAAUUUGUUUGAAUUGUUAAGUUACUUUGUUCUAAGUUUUAAAAUUUUUAACUUCUUUUCGUAUAUGUUAAGAUUUUAGGUUAUAUAAUCAAAGACAAGUAAUUUAUGUUCAUAUUUCAUAUAAAAAUCAUUUUUGAUUUAUAAGAUUUAAAUUUAAAUUAUAAUUUCAAAUUCUUUCUAAUAAUUAGAUAAUGUAAAAUCAAGAUAUAUUUAAAUUUAUGCUUUAUUCUUAUUAUUAACUUCUUUAUUAUUAGAAUAAUUAAUCUAUAUAAGUAUAUGCCAUAUAUAUUCAUAUCGAUAAUAUCUUUUAUAAAAACAAGAAAAAUUAUCAUCAAAGAAGAAUCAAAGCAUGUGCAAGGAAUAUUGAACAUAACAAUUUGCCUAGUACAAACAGUUAGAGAAGCAUUUCUAAAAUACAACAUGUAUAGGGUUUAAAAGAAUAAAACUUUGACAAAUAGGUUUGGUUUUUGUUUUAAUAAUUAUAUUUAUUUAUUUUGCGGACAAGUACAUGUAAAAAGUGAGAUAUGUUAAUUUAAAAUUUAAUUCAAUUAAUUUUUAAAAUUAUUUUUAAAAAAUAAUAUUCGAUUAAAAUUUAAAUCUCAAUACUUAUAUUUUUUUUCUUUUAUUUCAAAUAACUUUUUUUAAAAAGAAAAAAUGAGUCAUGUGCAUUUUUUUUGUUGGCUUUUUAUCAUUUGUUAAUCUAUCUUUGGUCGAACUUUUCUAUAGUAUACUAUUAAUUUAAUAACCAUCACUUCGCUUAAAUAAUCUUAACCUUACAAUUAAAGAGGUAAAACAUUUCCAUUGAUAAGAACUUACUUAAGAAACUUCUUGGUCAAGAAAAUAGUAAUCUCAAAUGUUAAUCAUGAAAUUAAAUCAUUAAUCCUACUAUAUAAUUCGUCCAAUAUGAUCUAAUCUGAUUGGAACAUAUAUCUAAAUUUAAGUAUAUGUGCAAAAAAAAAUAAGCAAAUGAUUCUUAAGUGAUGAAAAAACUUAUGUAAUUUAAAACUUAACUCUGUUAAUUCAUGCAUAUAGUUUUUUUUUAGAUGAUAUUUAAUAAAUUUGAUAUUCAAAUUUUAAUACUUUUUUUCAUUUCAAAGCUACAAUCUUCUUUUAUAACAACAAAAAAAAAAAAACUAAAAAUAAUCUGUUAUCUGUAACUUUAAACUGAUGAAUUUAAAUUGCUAAGACUUUGCAGUCAUAUUUUCAUUGGCAAAGUUUAUUUACAUUUAUUUCAAAAGUAGAGAAAAAAAGGCCAUUUGGCCUAACAAUCAAUAUCCUUUUGAGCAACUUCGCAAUAGAUAAGCAUUGGCCCCCGAUCUGCCCAACAACUAAUCUACUGAGGAACUGGCAGAGCUUGAGGCAAGGCUUGGUUUGAUGCUGAAAUCGUUUGCAGUUUGCAGUCAACAGAGAUUAAUUGAGCAGAGUUAUCAUUAUUUUCCUCAACAGAAAUCAUGUUGAUUAUUUGUAGCAAAACACGCUCGAGCUCUUCACCAUCACUCCAUUCAUGAAUCUCAGCCUUGAUGAGCAAAGGGUUCCUGCAAAUUAAAUCCCAGACUGGAAAAUUCUUCCUUGGCAUCAUGUAGUCUGCUUAAGGCUUGGGCAGUAAUCUCCGGCACCAUCUCCUAGGUAGAUGAUUUUUUUCUUCCCCUCUAAGAAUCCUUUCAAUGAUCAUCCCCUGCUACACAAAGCAGAAGCCAAAAUUAAAAUUUUUGACAUCUUAUUUCAUGAUUUUCAUUAAAUUUAUAUGAUUGUUGACCCAUGUCAAUAUCUUGGGUUUCGUUUAUGUCCUUAUACGAGGCAUUACUUUAACAGAAUAAGUGGGAUCAAGAAAAGAACUUGAAAUAUCUAAAAUGAGGAGAUUUAAAAAAUAAAGAAAUAAAAAAAACCUCCAAGCUAGUUGGAUGAAAUUGACUAUGUACGUGUGGAAUACCAUCAAGUGAUAAAAUUUUCUAGAAAUUUUCACUUAUAUGAAAAAUCUAGGUCUUCCUACAAAACUUUGGUGUCUUGAUUUAAAAUAUUUACAAUUGUGAUAUUAAUGAAAUUAAAGCUCAUGUUACUGAUGAAAAAGAUAUGAUACCUUGCACAUAUUUGGAGGACAGAGGUUGCAGCCGUGGGAACUCUUUGUGAAAUCAUGGUAAGGGAUGAUCCUCAGCCUCCCUUCUUCAUCAACAAAGCUGGGGUUGUGUUGAUCUCUGAGAAAUAUUUCCUUAAUCCAAGAUGUUCCAGAAUUGUCUCAAUGAAGAACAUGUUCGCAUCACUCACAAUCCUGAGUUCACACCUGAAAAAAUAUUCAAACCAAUUUGAUCACCUUAAAUUUCUAUUGCUUCAAACUGUAGUUUUUAUAGUCACAGGUCAAAUACCAAGAGGAGAAGCAUAGAAAAAAAAGAGUACCCUAAAGAAUGAGCUGAUUUAAUAGCGGGGACGAUCCUAGGAUGGAUAGGAGCUAUUUUCAGAACCUCAGCAAUGUCAUCAAUGGUUUUUCCCUGGGCAUGAAGCUCCUUCAUCAUCCUGUCUGUAAUUUUAUACCACAAACACUGAGUUUCAAUUUUUACUAAUGUAAAGCCAACAGAAAGAGAAAUUGUAGAGGGCUUAAUACGGGUUACCAUGAGAGAAUUCCAGGGCAUGGUAGGAAGAAGCUGGUUGAACAAGUCGGUGAAACCCAAGUCAUCGACAACCCAGUUAUCACUAUCACCGUCGAUGAUGGUUUUGUCAAAAUCAAAAACCACAACAAUUCCAGCCAUCUCUCUGAAUGAAAAUCAAACAAAAGACAAAACAAGAAUGGAAAAACUCGACAACUCUUUGAAUGUUGUUUUCUUGGUAUAGAAUCACGUAACAGGGGAGGGGUAUUUAUAUGCAGAAAAAUGUUAUUAGGUUUAAACAAUGAAUUUUUUUAUGCCAAAGGAAUAUUACGUGAAGGGGUUAUAAGGUGUAAGUAGGAAGCACCAAGCAGGCCACAAAAAGCCGUUUUUCCUGCAAGCUUCCUACGCAACACAUACUAAUCUGAUACAACUGCUUGUAAAUUAUUUCUCUGGUAUAAGCAAUAUUAACCGUUUGAUGGAUGACUUUUGAACCAGUGAUCAAUCAAGUUUAGUCAGCGGAUCAGGGGUAAAAGGGUGUCGGUUAAUUAUGAAAGGGAUUAGGUUUUAGGUUUAAGGUUUAAGGUUUAUCAAACUCCUCUCCAUUGCUUCAUUCGCAUACUUGUGCCUUUACUAGCCUCCUGUUUUUGCAAAUCAAAUCCCAAACUGGGAAAUUCUUCCUUGUCAUUAUAUAGGCCCCAUCUCCCAGCUUCAAACUUGGACAGGAAUCGCCAAGCCCAUAGCCGAGGUAGAUUAUUGUUUUCUUCUCCUCCACGAGCAUGAGAGAGACUUGGAUCCUUUCAGUCACAAUACCCCAUUAAGAAAAGAGUUCAAUCAUUAGUCAAUAGGAUGGGAAGAAAAUGAAGAUAACUUAAAAAUAAUUAGUAGCAUAUAAUUAUAUAUCUUACAGCUAAUCAUGCUUUGGAUUCAUUACGUGUACUAAACAUUAGAAUUCAGUCAAGGAUGCAUAUGGUAUAAUCGGGUAUUCAUGUACGCCUCCAAAGAUUCGAAAACAAAAGAUGUUUUCUUUGGACGCCUUCAAAUUUUGUUUUGGAGACCUUCAAAUUUUUCUUUUGAACAUAUCUUUCUUAAUUCCUUAUUCCUUAAUCCUUCACUUACUGCCACUAUCUAAUAUCCAAUCACAUCUCACAGCCAGUUAAUGCCCAACACCUAGUAAACAUCCACUAAUAAAUGGACACCUCCAUAAAAAUAUCUUGCAUCUGCUACCGUUAGAAUUCAGUCAUAUUUGAUGCAUGCAUGCAUGGUUCACGUUGUUAGUAACUAGUAUGAUUUUCAAGUUAAAAAUGACAUACCUUGCACAUGUUUGGAAGGCAGGGAUGAUGACAUCCAUGAGUAGAUUGAGUGAAAUCAUGGUGAGGCAAGAUCCUUAGCCUGCCUUCUUCAUUUACGAAACCUGGGUUGGUAUUGAUCUCUGAAAAGCAUUCCCUCAGGCCAUGAUGCUUCAAAAUUGUGUCGAUGAAGAACACCUUCGCAUCGCAUACAAUCUUCGAAUCACACCUGAAAUUAAUAAUGCCAUACGACUUUUUUCUUUUCUUUUUUUUUUUUCGAGCGAGAAAACCAGAAAGAAAAAUUAAAUAUACAUGCCGGCAGGACUGAAGUUGGCAAGAAGGAAACUCCUAAAGCUAAGAAAUGUUGCCAGAGAGCUUAUUAAGUGUAUGGUCCUUUAAUUACUUCUUGCACAGAGGAAUAAUAUCACAGGCUGCAACCCCUCAGAAUGCAACUGUGGCAUCUGCUCUCUCAACAGACGAUUGGACUCAAUAUCUCGCUACUUCUCUACAGAUGAGGGAUAUGCAGCAGAUGUUGGCUGGUCUGACCUUCACCGAAGAAGAAGAUGUUGUUGGCUGGCAUCAAAGUCCGGCAAGUUCAUACUUUCAAAUACAUGGGACUGGAUCAGGUAUAGGCAACCCACUGUGGUUUGGCAUAAAUUGGUCUGGAUUCCUCUUCACUCCCUAAACAUAGUUUUAUCGCUUGGCUUGAGGUUCUUAAUAGAUUAAGCACAGUAGCUAAUAUUAGGAGUUAGUGUACUCAAAUGUCAAAAAUCACUUGCUGCUUUUGUGAUAAAGAGGAGGAGACUAAGAAUCAUCUUUUCUUUUCUUGUGACUUCUCAAAGCAAGUUUGGCAAUUAGUUUUAGCAAAAGUGAAGUGUGUUUUUGAUUGCAACAUCCAAAAGUGGCAGCAGGAGCUUGAUUGGAUUAUUCGGCAUACCAGAGGUAAAACUUUUAAGAUUGUAAUUUUGAGAGGAGCGUGAACAACAAGUAUAAAUAUAUCACAUAUGCCAUGCGAGGGAUUCUCCAUAACUUGGCAUUUGUUCUCCAAACGUUGACAAAUACUUUCCCAGACAUUAGUUUUAAUGUAAAGUUUUGCGUUUUAAAAUUUGUAAAAAGAUAUGAAUAAUCCAUCUAUUAGCUCUGUAUGUAAAAAAUUAAAGGAUUGUAUAGGAAAUGCUAAGGCUUAUUCUUUGAUUUGUGGACUGGUAGCCUCCUACUUCUUUGGACCAAUGAAAUACCAUUUAUGACAAAAAAAAAAAAACGAAAAUAUACACGAACAGAGAGAAAAAUGUAUACAUAGCCCAAAGCAUGAGCGAUUUAAUGGCUUGGAUGAUUCGGGGAUGUAUUGGAGUUGUUUUUAGAACAGCUAUAAUGUCAUCAAUUUUUGUUCCAUGUGAAUGAAGUUCUUUCAUUAUUAGAACCUGUUUUGUACAUAAAAAAAUUAAGCCCUGGUUCUUAAGUUUGGAAAAGAAGGAAAAAGAAAAACAAAUAAAUUAAAAGACUAACCAUAAAAGAGUUUCAAGGCAUGGUAGGGAGGAAUUGAUUGACCAACCAUGUAGCACGUCUGAGAUAUAUGAAACUUGGAAUUCAGGUUAAUUGAUUUAUAAAAUUAUUUUUAAGAGAUGAUAUCUAACUGAAACUCAAAUUUCAAUAUUUACAAUUAUUUUUCAUAUUUUCAAAUGGUCUUCUUAAUUAAAAAAUAAUCUGUAGUAAAAAAAUUAUGUACGCUUAAUUUGUUUGAAUUGAUAAGUUCUUUUGUUAUAAGUUUUAAAAUUUAUAAUUUUUUCUUUUAUAUGUUCAGAUUUUAAGUUAUAUAAUCAGAGACAAGUAAUUUGCAAUCAUAUUACAUAUAAAAAUUAUUUCUGGUUUAUAAGAUUUAAAUUUAAAUUACAGUUUCAAAUUCUUUCUAAUAAUUAGAUCAUGUAAAAUUAAGAUAUAUUAAAUUUAUGUUUUAUUCUGAUUCUUAACCUCUUUAUUAUUAGAAUAAUUAAUCUAUAUAAGUAUAUAUCAUAAAUAUUCAUAUCCUCAAUGUCUUUUAUACAAGUGAGAAAAAUUCUCGUCAAAGAAGAAUCAAAGCAUGUGCAAGGAAUAUUGAAUAUUGAACCUUUGGAAUUUGCCUAGUACAAUCAGAUAGAGAAGCAUUUCUAGAAAGCUGUAUAACAUGUAUAGGGUUUAAAAGAAUAAAACUUUUGACAUAUAGGUUCGGUUUUUGUUUUAAUAAUUAUAUUUAUUUAUGCUACAAUCUAGUACUUGCAAAAAAGAAAUUUAUUUUAAUUGAUUUAUGAAAUUAUUUUUAAAAAUAAUAUUUUAUUAAAAUUUAAAUCUCAAUACUUAUAUUUUAUUUUUUUAUUCCAAGUAACUUCUUUUUAAAUAAAAAGAGUCAUUUGGAAAUUUGUUUAGACUUUUUAUGAUUUGUUAAUCUACCUUUGGUCCAACCUUUCUAUAGUAUAUUAUUAAUUUAAUAAUCACCCCUCGGCUUAACUAAUCUUAACCUUGCAAUUAAACAGUAAAACUUUUCCAUUGAUAGGAACUUCCUUAAGUAACUUUUUGGUCAUGGAAAUAGCAAUCUCCAUAUUGAAAUGUUAAUCAUGAAAUUAAAUCAUUAAUCUUAUUACAUAAUUCGCCUAAUAUAAACUAAUUUUAUUGGAAUAUAUAUCUAAAUUUGAGUAUAUAUGCAAAAAAAAAAAAAAGAUAAAUGAUUUUUAAAUGACGAAAAAAAUAAAAUAAUCUUUUAAUUCAAAAUUUAAUUCUAUUAAUUUAUGCAUAUAAUUAUAUUUAAAAAAUAAUAUUUAAUAAAUUUAAGAUUUAAAACACGGCACCUUCUCCCAUUCCAAAGUUACUAGCUCUUUUGUAAAAAUAAUAAUAAUAAUCUGUUCCUCGUAAUUUUAAACUGAUGAAUUUAAUUUGAUAAGAUUUUGCGAUCAUAUUUUCAUUGAAAAAGUUUAUUUACUUUUAUUUCAAAAGUAGAGGGCAAAAAAAAGGCCAUUUGGCCUAACAAUCAAUAUCCUUUUGAGCAACUUCGCAUUAGAUGAGCAUUGGCCUCCGAUCUGCCCAACAACUAAUCUACUGAGGAACUGGCAGAGCUUGAGGCAAGGCUUGGUUUGAUGCUGAAAUCGUUUGCAGUUUGCAGUCAACAGAGAUUAAUUGAGCAGAUUUAUCAUUAUUUUCCUCAACAGAAAUCAUGUUGAUUAUUUGUAGCAAAACACGCUCGAGCUCUUCACCAUCACUCCAUUCAUGAAUCUCAGCCUUGAUGAGCAAAGGGUUCCUGCAAAUUAAAUCCCAGACUGGAAAAUUCUUCCUUGGCAUCAUAUAGUCUGCUUCUCCAAGCCUUAGACUCGGGCAGUAAUCACCGGCACCAUCUCCAAG